This 66230-nucleotide long non-coding RNA is filed under the name Fragaria vesca (wild strawberry). RNAcentral describes it as "long non-coding RNA (FVES_LNC000577)". The record is from RNAcentral. Lineage: Eukaryota; Viridiplantae; Streptophyta; Magnoliopsida; Rosales; Rosaceae.
AUACUCAAAUCCGUCUCAUGAAGUCUGAAUUGUGAUUAUCGUUGGGGGACGCCUCAAUGUCAAAAUCCAAUCCAUAUAGAGAUCUCUACAAGUAUUACACUAGUGUACACGAGGACGUGAGAUAAUGAGUCUACUAUCGAACCACCCUUCGUUGAUGGAUAUCAACUUAGUUGAUUGGCCUAAUGGAAAGAUACGAUCCAGCAUUAACAAAGAGAUAGGUCCUUGGGCAGGUGAUGCCGACACCGCAAGCUAAACCCUAUCAACUAUGCCUUUGUUAGAUAGCGUAGUAAGAGUAAGAGCUUAGACUCACCUUAUGGCGCAAGGUAUUUCACUAACACGCACUGGGAUCAACUACGAUGAGAUAUGCUCUCGUAAUGGAUGUCAUUGAACUCCACUACUUUGUCAGUUUGGUAGUUUCCGAAUAACUGAACAUGUAGCCUAUGAAUGUGGUCAUAAUAACAUCUCUAUGGGAUCAGAGAUAUACAUGAAGAUCUUAAACGGACUUCAUUCAUCCGAAUCAAGUGGCUCCAAACCACAGGAGCAUGCGUUUGCUAAAUGUAUUGAAACGCAUAUGGACUCUACUUAAUUUGGAAGGGAUAUGGUGAAUUAUGCCUUUGCGUGUUCAUUCCGGAUUUACAUGGACUCUUGAUGGAUCAAGAGAUGUCAAUAUGUAUCAACAUCCGAAGAAAAAGAUCUUGGGAAGACAUGGUCUCGAUAAGGCACUCGAUGACUGUAUUGAUGAUGAUUUUCCAUCAAUCGGCUUAGGCGCUCUAUAACUAGUGAGGCUUACAUAUACUCCCAUGAUUAGUCAAGGUCUUUGCUCUAAAGAGAGAUCCGUUGUUUUGUCUAAAGCAAGAUGACAAAUAUGUGUUAAGAGAUGGAGUUCCCAUCUAAGUACAAUAAGACGCAUCAAUGUACUCAACACAAUACGAAAGACUUGACAUCUCAUUCGCUAUGAAAAGUUGUAAAGCUAAGUGUAGCUAUGCACCCACACAACGCCAAUGUAAUGGCAGUAACUCCUUUUUCAAUACUUAAUGGUAUGAAAGGUUGACGCUUAUUCUAUCCCUACAUAAGAAAGACACAUCAAAAGCGAAAUCAGAAUCUGCCAAGUUUUGUAGGUCAACUUCCACGAGACCUAUAGGAAAUCUCACUCACUGGAAAAUGGUGAAAUUGAUACCAUUGGAAAGGUCUAUGUGUCUACUUUCCAGGGACACCAACCAUUUGAUCAUACCUAUCAUAUUGAGUGAGUUAUGGCCGUUUUCGUAAAGUAGGACGAAUCUGUCCGAGAAUCUGAUUUUAGCAAAACAGUCAACUUCGACCGAAUGUUGUGAAUAGCUCCUGAGGAACCAGAACGUGUGUAAUAUACGGUUGGAAAGAUAAAUGAGUCUAGUUUCCAAAACCGUUUACGGUUCGUUCAUAUGUAUUUCCUAGAGAAAGUUACGACUGUUCUAGUAAUUGAAGGUCAUGCUGCGCGGAAAUCUGAUUUCCUGCACGAACUUAUGUUUGAGUUCACAAGCAACCCUCUUCUCAAGAUCUAAGUGUAAAAGAUCAUUUGAGGACAAUACGGCAUGAUUUAGUUAAUCAUUGCCCAAUACCACAUUUGAAGACAUGUUAAAAAGCAUUGACAUGCUAAGUUGUUGAAACUUCCGUGAUUAGUAAGAAUCAGGAAGAGCCCUAUGAUUGAUGUAAAGAUCAGGGGGAGGUGCGAACUUCAGGGGGAGUCUAGCACAUACAUACAUGUCACUAUCAAAUGUGAAGGGUGCGUUGUACUCUUUUUCUCCUACGAUCAAGGUUCAGUUUUUCUCCCACAGGGUUUUUGUGACUUGACGAGGUUUUUGACGAGGCAACAGAUCAGCACCAUCGGCAUAUCAGCGCGCGGCACAAGGGGGAGUGUUCUAGGAUAUUCUCUAUGUGUGUCUUGGCCUUAUGCCAAUAGGAUAUGUAGUUAGACUAGAUCUAUGUAUUCAUAUCCUUACCAUAUUGGUAUUGUGUAAUUCCCUAUAUAAAGGGCUCCUAUCAAUGAAUAAGAUGACUCUCUUGCUAUCUCUUUGUCUCUACACUUUAUUCUUCAUCAAUUUAAUAAAUAUUAUACUUUGAGGGCCUAAUUUUAAAAGUUCGACUCAUGCCUGAAAAUCUCAGGUCCGGGCCUACAUCUUCUAUACGUAUAGCUAGCAUUCACAUCAAGAUGGGAAUAAGGUUUCUCAUAUGCAUGCUAUAUUACGAUCAUUAAUUGUAGUAGCUAGGGAGAACGAGAGAGUGUGUACAUGUGUUUUAUGGUUAUAGCCUUAUGACAUGAAUACUAACCCGGAAUAAAAUUGUGAGAGUGACGAAAUUGAUUCUGAGAUUGGUGAAUUAUGAUGUUUACUAAUAUGUCAAGGUAUUUGAAUGGGUGAGAGUUUCACUUGCUUAUCAAAAAUCGAUUCUUUAUGAACCCCCUGAUCUUAUACCCAAGGGGCGAGAUGAGUAUCAGAAUCAAGCUUAUAGAAUCAACUUUUUCUCCUCAAAAUAUUCUCACAUAAUUAAAAAAUUCCAAAUUACUCAUCUCUUGAAAAUUGCAAACAAUCUAGCUUCCUUUCUUAUAGGUGUAUUUUAGUAGUCAAACUAGUUUUAAUUCUGAUUUCAUAUGGUAAAUAAACAACAUCAAUCGUCGUAAUUAGUUUCAUUCUUAUUUUGAUUCCAUAUGGUGAGUAAACAGUAUAAUAGAAUGAAAUAUUUUCAUUCUAAUUUUUGUUGAUACCGAUUUUUAUUGAUAUGGAUUCAGUGUGCCACUAAAUAAACAAAUAUAUCGUCUAUCAAAUCAUCCAUUAGUUAGAACAUUCAUCUUUGUAUCUAUUUACGGAUCUCAUAGUCAAUCAUUUGAGAGAUGAUAAUUUUGCAAUUCGCACUCCAAUUUUAUCAUAUAGAUCGGUGUUAGUGUGUUACAAAUGUUAGCACUAAGCAAAACGUUUACUAAUGCAUCAUAAUAUAUAUAUGAUACUUCCAUUUAUAAGGGUGCUCCUCAUCCCACGUUCGACAGUAGACAAGUGCUCACUUAGGAGAAAUUAAUAAUUUUUCACAGUUAAAAUACUCAAGUGCCCCCAAAUUUCUAAUCCUUAAAUGUGUUUCCAUAUGACACACUAAUCAUUCGAAGCAAGAUUAUUGUAUCUUCACUAAUGUUCGAGGCCGGCAAAACCUAGCCAACUCCAUCAAUUUGAUGAUGAUGAAGAGGCUCUAUUUUAUAUAAACUAAUUUGAAAAGACUUUGGGAAAAUAUUUUUAAAAUGUAAUCAUUAAUAAUAUCGACAAAUUAAUACUCCUUGAUAUAAAACCUUCGUUUGUUUAAACUUUGAUCAAGUAGAGUUGCAUAUAUACCGGGUUGUAGUCGAGAGAAAAGUACCUGACAAACAAUGUGAUACACAUAUACGUACAUACGAUUUAGUGGUUUACGACAUGACUCGUGUUUUACACAACACAUAACGCACGCUGCUACAAUUCAACAAAUACAAAAUAUAUUUAAUUAGUAUAGUAAAAAUUAAAUCCUAAUAACAAAUAUUUCACAAGCUCAGUUAUCAGUUUGAUCAACUUGAAUGAAACUUGAUGAAGAGUAAAAAUAAAAAAUGAAAACCAGUCUGACAACCAGUGCAUGGCAUGGGACAAAUUACAUGUUUAGCUUACAGAAUACAGAUGAAACCGUGUGAAUAUACAGUUUCCAGUUAUAAGCUUAAGGAUGGAAGACCCACCCCAACUUGGUUGUUGGUUGGCUGUGGAUAUUCAACAUUUACUAGCACAAGAAUCUUCACAGAAAUUGCUGGGCAUAUAAAUCCACAGCAUUAGCAUGCCUCACUUAAACUUUCCCUAAAAGUCAAUUCACCUAACUCUUUUUAAAAAUCUUAAUAUCACAAGUGGCAAUUUAGCUAAUCUAUGAGACCAUGAUCAAUCUCACCCCAUACAUACAACGCUAGGAUCCCCUUUGAUGUAGUUGGACAAUAAAUUAGGACUGAACCAAAAAUGGACCCAGUGCUAGCUGCAGCCUUUAUAUAUAUUUGAUCCAACAUAACAUCAAUUGGUAAACUUUGCAAACCAUGGGAGGUUUUCCAAGACCUCAUCCUCUUCUCCCUCUGCUUCACAUUCUCUUGCUUUCCUGGCUACCAUUGUUGGCAACCUCUUCCCCCACAACACAAGCAGAGGCUUUGGUAAGCUGGAAGAGCAGCUUUGAUUCUCCCCCACCUUCUCUCAGUUCAUGGUCCCUCACAAACAUCAACAGCCUUUGCAACUGGACCUCCAUUGUCUGUGACCCCAAAACCAAAACAGUUUCCCAGAUUGACCUCUCAAACUUCAACCUCACUGCAACACUGACAGGACUGGACUUCACCCAGUUUCUCAAUCUCACCCGUUUUAACCUCAAUGGCAACAAUUUCACAGGGCCAAUUCCAUCUGCCAUUGGCAACCUCACCAAGCUCACAACUUUGGAUUUGGGCAACAAUCUUUUUGUAAAUGAAGUUCCUGUGGAAAUGGGGAAGCUAAACCAGGUUGAGUAUUUCAGUCUCUACAACAACAAUCUCACUGGUGCCAUUCCAUAUCAGCUUGACAAUCUCAAAAAGGUACAAUAUUUCCUUCUUGGAAGUAACUACUUAGAGCCUCCUGAUUGGUCUAAAUUUUCAGGCUUUCCAGUGUUGACAUUUCUUGAUAUGUCUCUCAACAGUUUAGAUUCAGAAUUCCCAGAAUUUAUAUCUGAAUGUAGGAACUUGACAUUCCUGGAUUUGUCUCAAAAUGCUUUGACUGGUCAAAUACCAGAAGUGGUACUUACCAAUCUAGUCAAGCUUGAAUAUCUGAAUCUCACAAACAACCAUUUUCAAUCCCCAAUGCCAUAUAAGUUUCCCAACCUUAAACACCUUUAUUUGGGAGUGAACAACUUUACAGGUCCAAUUCCUGAAGGUAUAGGUUCGAUAUCUAGUCUUGAACUUAUUGAACUGAUAACCAAUUUCCUUGAAGGAGAAAUCCCAUCCUCUAUAGGCCAACUCAAGGAGCUUCAACACCUUAACCUUGGAGAGAAUUCCUUGAUGUCUUCAAUCCCUUCUGAGCUUGGUCUUUGCCUCAACCUCACUUUUUUGGCCUUGGCUGGGAAUAAACUCAGUGGGGAACUGCCUCUGUCCUUGUCCAAUCUCAACAACUUGAAGGAGUUGGGGUUAUCUGAAAAUCUACUUACUGGGCCAAUCUUACCUUCUCUGGUCUCCAAUUGGACUGCAAUGGUCUCUAUUCAAUUCCAAAACAAUAAGUUCAGUGGGAACAUUCCACCAGAAAUUGGCCUAUUGACAAAUAUUGAUCUCCUCUUUCUGUACAAUAAUAAUUUCACUGGCCCAAUUCCCCCAGAGAUAGGAAACAUGCAAGCUAUGACAAAUUUGGAUCUUUCAGGAAACCAGCUAUCCGGGCCGAUUCCUAAGUCAUUCUGGAAUCUCACUAAUCUUCAGAGUGUACAGCUUUUUUCCAAUGACCUCAGUGGCACCAUCCCCCCAGAGAUUGGGAACAUGACUUCAUUGACUGUCUUUGAUGUCAAUACAAACCAACUUGAGGGGAAGUUGCCAGAGACCAUUUCUCUCCUCACUAACCUCCAGAGCUUUUCUGUCUUCACCAAUAAGUUGUCUGGAACUAUUCCUAGUGAUUUUGGGAAGUAUAGUCCCGGCUUGGUAUAUCUUAGCUUUUCGAACAACAGCUUCUCUGGAGAAUUGCCACCAGAGUUGUGCAGUGGAUUCUCUUUGAAACAGUUCACAGUGAAUAUCAACAACUUCACAGGGCCAUUACCCGAGUGCUUGAGAAAUUGUACUGCAUUAACUAGAGUCCGGCUUGAUGAGAACCAAUUCACAGGAAAUAUUACCAAUGCAUUUGGUGUCCAUCCUAGUCUUGAAGAAAUUUAUCUUGGUCACAACAAGUUUGUUGGUGAACUCUCACCAGAUUGGGGAGAGUGCAUAAACAUCACUGACAUGCGUAUGGAUGGAAACAGAAUUUCUGGUCAAAUUCCAGCUGAGCUUCUGAAGUUGGCAAACUUGCAGUAUCUAACACUAGGUUCUAAUGAAUUCAGUGGGGAGUUCCCAGUUGGUAUUGGGAAUCUAAGCUUGUUGUUCACUCUCAACCUCAGCAGGAACCACUUCACAGGAACCAUCCCGCAGAUCCACCAGUUGACUAAGCUCCAGACUCUUGAUUUGUCUGAUAACAAUUUCACAGGGGUAAUACCAGACGAAACUGGCACAUUUGAGAGCUUAACAAGUUUAAACUUGAGCCACAACAAGUUAUCAGGUGAAAUACCGGAAGAGAUUGGUAACUCGGAAUUGAGGUACUUGUUGGAUCUUAGCAGCAAUUUGCUCUCAGGAGACAUACCUUCAAACUUGGGCAAGCUCACACAGUUGGUGAUUCUCAAUGUCUCACACAACAAUCUGUCAGGAGAAAUACCAUCAGCAUUUUCUGACAUGCUUAGUCUAGACAGCUAUGAUUUUUCUUACAACAACUUGACUGGUCCAAUCCCAACUGGUGGAAUUUUCCAAACAGCACCGGCAAAUGCUUUUGUUGGCAAUUCUGGUUUGUGUGGAGGUGCAGGACUAACUGCAUGCAAUUCCUCUAGUGGAAAGUCCAAGAAUAACAACAAGAAAGUUCUUAUUGGAGUCCUUGUUCCUAUUUGUGGUUUAAUAGUGAUUGUAACUGUUAUUGCUCUGAUCCUUAUUUUCCGUAAGAAAUCUGAGCUGCAUGAUGAGGAAACCAAAAGUUCUAAGAAGUCAGAGAGUUUUGAGUCGAACAUAUGGGAAAGAGAAGUAAAGUUUACAUUCGGGGAAAUUGUGAAGGCCACAGAGGACUUUGAUGAGAAGUACUGCAUUGGAAAAGGAGGGUUUGGAAGGGUUUACAAAGCUGAGCUUCUUUCAGGUCAAAUUGUUGCAGUCAAGAAGCUUAACAUGUCUGACUCUAGUGACAUUCCAGCAAUAAAUCGACAAAGUUUUGAGAAUGAAAUUCGAACUUUGACACAUGUCAGGCACCGGAACAUCAUCAAGUUAUUUGGAUUCUGUUCAAGGAGAGGUUCCAUGUUCUUGGUUUAUGAAUAUUUAGAGAGAGGAAGUCUCGGAAAAGCAUUGUAUGGGGUCGAAGGGAAUGCAGAACUUGACUGGGCAACAAGGGUCAGAAUUGUGCAAGGACUAGCUCAUGCUCUUUCUUACCUGCACAAUGACUGCUCUCCCCCAGUUGUACACCGGGAUGUUUCAAUCAACAACGUGCUGCUGGAGUGGGAUUUUGAGCCCCGGCUAUCAGAUUUCGGAACAGCAAGACUGUUGAGCCCGGAUUCAUCCAACUGGACCAGUGUUGCUGGUUCUUAUGGCUACAUGGCACCUGGUAAUGUAACACUCAAGUUUGUUUAUUAUUGACUCAUCUUUAUGUGACUAAAAUAUUAAUGUGGCUAAUUGUGUUUCUUCUUUAUGCACAGAGCUCGCAUACACUAUGAAGGUGACAGAUAAGUGUGAUGUAUAUAGUUUUGGAGUGCUAGCACUAGAAGUCCUGAUGGGAAGGCACCCAGGGGAAAUGCUAGAAGCUCUACUAGAGUCAUCAAAAACAUUGCAGGACAACACAGAAAUGCUUUUGAAAGAUGCGAUAGACCAAAGGCUGGAGCCUCCGACCGGUGAAUUGGCAGAGGCAGUAGUGUUUGUGGUGAGCAUAGGCUUGGCCUGCACACGUUAUCGUCCAGAGUUACGACCCACGAUGCGGUUUGUGGCACAAGAAUUAUCAGCUCAGACACAGCCUUACAUUUCUGAACCAUUUGGUAUGUUAACCAUCAACAAACUAACUGAACUUCAAAAAUAGAAGGGAAUGAUACUAGUGUAGCUGUAUUUUUGUCAACAUAAUCUUUAUGUCUGUAUUAUAGAUGUCUUGAGAAAAUAAUCUUGGGGGUCUAGCCCAGGUUAAGUAUACUUGUAUUGUAUAGUGUAUAACCUCAGCUUAGAGAUAGUUUCAUAUACAAGUUGCUUCUACAUUUCACCUGCUAAACCUCAUGUCCCCUACAUUUCUGCAAAAAUCCUAUUUCCAAAUGGUUUCUGGUGAAGAAUUGGCUUUCAAACAGCUUGCUCCCACUGUUUCUCAUAAAAAAUGUAGUAAGAAAUGUGUAGAUACUAAGGAAUCACAUCAUACCUGUCUUUUUUCUUUUUUAUGACUAACUAAAUACUUUGCAUCUAGUCAAACCUUUUGUUAUUGUUCAAAGUUGACUUUUAGAGACAGUUAUUCUUCCAUAUUUUAGGCUGGUCUCAGUGCUUGUAAAUUUCUAGAAGCCAUGCUUCUAAUAAAAAUAAUAUAUCAUCAAAGAAAAAAUGAGGAACACUGAUUUGGAAAUCCCUCUGAACAUUAGUGAAUGUAUGGAACUAUGGAUAGUGUAAUAUACAAAUCAUCACCUUAGAACAUUUAAAAAAAAAAAAAAAACGAAGCAAAAUUUGCAUUACUUCAAAGACAAUCAAUGAAGAAGGUAAACAAAAGACACCAACAGCAUUCUCAUGACUCAGCAAUCCACCCCACAUUGUUUAAGAAUUGGUCCAGUUUGCUUAGCCAAGAAGGGAUCAAUUCUUACCCAAACCAAUGAGAAAAUGGAAGCAAGUAGAACUGACCAUAGUACCACAAUGGUGGGAGUCCUGUUUUGCCUGCCCAUCAAACCUUUGAGGAAAGGGUAGAGAUGAACAAUGACCCAGAAGGCAAAGAAGAGCUUUCCAAACAACGGACCCCAUGAGCCGUAGCCAUUGUUAAUAGCAUCAGAAACUCCAGCCACAACUCCCACCAUGUUCAAGAUGAUAAGGGUUGUUGGUGGUAUGAGAAGCGUAGUCCAUUUGAACAGGUAGAGUUCCCCAAACUCAGCAUCUUCUGCUGCUUUUGAUGUGACUGUAAAGUUGGUGUCAACACCAGCAAGGACUUUGAGGAGGCCUUGGAAGACGGCAAAGAGAUGUGCAGAGACACCACCAAUCACCCAAAACUGCUCAUUACGCCACAAGUCUUCGAUGCUAACACCGCUCCAUCUGAGCUCAAGCACACUGGUUGCAAUGAUGGAGAUGAAAAGAGCCAGGAACCAUACACUGGCAAAGUUGUUUAGCUGCAAAGAAUGAAAUGUUAAUUAGAAAACCAAAAAAGAUAUAAUGAGAUUUAGUUUGAUUUCCAGUUGGCCUUUCUCAACUGAUGUCCAAAAGUACUUACUGUGGGGAUGAUGAACUUUCCAGUUAAAAGACAAACAGCUGGAAUAGUACAAUAGGCAAGUAAGGGAAUGGAAGUGAAAGGGUAGACUAUGGUGUUAAUGUAAGCAAGCCUCUCCAACAAUUUCAGCUUUCCUCCCCAUGCAUACCAUAAGGGACAGUGACGACUGAGGAAGAUUUCGACAGAGCCAAGUGCCCAUCUCAGAACUUGGUGCAGACGAUCUGACAAAUUGAUAGGAGCAGAACCCUUGAAAGCUGGUCUCUUUGGCACACAGUAGACUGACUUCCAUCCUCUACAAUGCAUUUUGAAGCCGGUCAAAAUAUCUUCUGUAACUGAACCAUAAAUCCACCCAAUCUGCAAAGAGAAACCAACAAAAGUAAUCAUUUUAGUUUCUGUAGUCUCCACAUGAAAUAUUUUGAAUCUGUAAACAUAGAGAAAAGUUCAUCAUAAUGCAAGUCACCUCUCUUCCCCAUUCAGUUUUUUCUUCAUAGCCACAACUAAUAACAUGAAUGGCCUCCUUAACAAGUGCUGUGCUGUUAAUCCCUUCAGGGAGCCCACCAUUUUCCAUGAGAGUGGAAGCAAUGAAAACUGGGGAUUGUCCAAAUCGUUUCUCAAAGUUUUUCUGUGACAUGAGAGAUGAUUUCUCCAACUCAUCAUAACCUUCAAACCCUUCUUCAAUCUCUUCAAGAUCAAACAUUGGUCCCCUCCCUUUCCUCACAUAGUUCUUCCCCAUCAUUUUUUUCUUCUUCUUUGAGUAAAGUCCCCCAAGAAGACUUCUUACUCCACCCUUCUUAGACUUGGACUUCUUCGAAUCCCCACGACAGCAGCCACAGCAGCACCAUGAAGGCCAGCAGUCACAUGUCAUCUUAGGUCUCUUUUCUGACACUGGUGGAUCAUAACCAUACAAUGCCUGCCUAUUGAAGACACACCCCGUACCAACAUAUACCGGUCCUUGGAUCCCAUCUAGCCCUUUCAUGUUGAUCUAUCACCAAAACACAGUCAAAGCUUUGAGCUAAGUAUUUGCAGGCAGUGAAUUCUGUAUUCUAAUAAAGAAUGUUAAUUUUAAAUUGAAGCUUUAGUGUUGCUUACAUCGAAGAAAACAGUAUUCCGAUUUGCAUAUCUGUCAUGAAGAUCAAUACCAUCAAACCUUUGAGGGAAUUGGACAUAGCAGAGCUUCUUUCCAAGUUGAGGAUCCAUUAGGAAGCACAUAGCUUCUCUUAUAGCCUUGCUGUUAUUGAUGUAGUGGUCACAAUCCAGAUUCAACAUGAAAGGUGCAUUAGAAAGCACUGCAGAAACUCGAACCUGUUGAUCAUUUCCAAAUUUUAAACAUUGCUGAAUGCACCAGUCUCACCUCAAUAUAGCAUUACCCAAAUUAAAUUUACACCAACUCACCAUAGCAUUCAUUGCACCAGCUUUCUUGUGAUGUUGAUAUCCAGGACGCUUCUCACGAGAAACAUACACAAGACGUGGCAGUUCCUUACCAUCCACAUCCAGAGCUCCCUCACUUCCCAGAUAAACCUGCAAAGCAAGCCAAAUGUUGUCAGUGACUAGUGAAAGCAAGCAUUUUUGUAUGCAUUUUCUCUACCUUUCCCUCUCUCUAAUUUUCUACUGAUAAAGCUGAAGUCCAACAUAAAAACCGCAUUGGACAACAUGGAUAUGCUAGGAAAAAAGAGAACAGGGAUAACAUUGUUAUACCUGAAUCAUUCCGGGAUGAUCACGAGUGUUGUUACCAGGCCAUGGAGUACCAUCCUGCAUCACCCAUCCUUCUUCAGGUUUCUUCAGAGCAUUUGCUACCAAUGCAUUAAUUCUCACUUUGAAUUCUUCAUACUCUCUCUGCAGUACCACACACGAAAAAAGAUCUUUUAUAUUAGACCUUACAUAUUUGUUAUCAAAAUUUUGUAACAAUAUAGCAAAAGACUAAAGUAAUUUCUUCAUCUGUUAUUUUUUGCUCACCUUCAUGGCUCUGCGCUCCUUGACAAAGUUCGGAUGAACCUUGUCCUUCAAGUAAUCAAUCUUCUGAGAAAAAUAAAACUCAGGAGCCCUUGGCUCAAUGGUAUGCUUUUUGCAAAAUGGCACCCAUCUUCUUGCAAACUCAGCAGUCUCAGAUAGUGCAUCAAAAAGAAGCAUUGAAGCGCCAUCAUCCGAAACAUAACAGCACACCUUGUCAACUGGGUAGUCAACGGCUAAUAUGGAUAGAACUGUGUUUGCAGUAAUGAUUGGAGGCUCCUUGAGAGGGUCCACUGAACUCACAUAGACAUCAACUGGAGCUAGAGUGUUAGGCUCACCCUCACGCUCAAACCUCAAGGACAGGCGGUCCAAGUAAGUUUCUCGGUUGAUAGGUUGCCAUUUAGGGAACUGGUCAAGUAUCCAAGAGAGUGCAAACCAUAUCUCACAAAUCACAGAUAUGAGCCACAGGGGAAAAGCAUCAUAGGCUGGAGUCAAGAUACGGAAAUGAAAGAAGAAGGCCAGAAUCACAAGCCGCAUGACAAUGACUAUGCGGUAAGGGCUGAUUUUGCUCGAGGCGAUGGGGACUUUUCGCCAUAGUGGUUGCCGAGCUUCAGCCAUUCUGCACAAAAGUUACACUUGAAUAAAUGAGAACUACUACUAUAUCACUCGGUCGACAAAAUUUGGUAAACAAUUCUGAAGUAUAGCUAAAGUUUACAAAAUGAGCUUACAGGAAGUCAUCUUCUAGGCCUUGAUCAUCAUCAUUUCCAUCAUAUUUGUUCACCAAGCCUCUCUUUUCUUGCCUCACUUUCCACUUCUCCACUCUGUCUUUCCAUUCUGCACUACCCAAAGCUUCUUUGUCGCCUUCAAAAUCCUUAACUACAGAGACCGAAAAUACACAAAUUAAAAUAUGCAAUUUCCUCAAAGAAUUGAAGUCCCUUUUGAUUAUAGUAAUAUACAAGUUUCUAUAUCCUCACCACUUCCUUGAACUGAGAAGGGUUGAUUAUUGGUUUGCCAUUUCUGUUGAUUAUGGUCUCCAUUCUCCUGCAAAACUCACCAAAUGAUCACUUUGGCACCUUAUGAUCACGUCUAGUGCUCAAAAUGAACUAUAAUAUCUUUGAAAACAACAACUAGACUAGAUUAAUUACCGAAGGAACAUCAAUGGCAUGAUUUUUCUCCUCAGAAGAGUCAUGAUCAUUGUGAUUCUUGACAAUCUGAAACUCCUCAUCAAAAUCAUCUGCAUCAAAGUCUUCGUCGUCUCCAGCAACUCUAGGACAACCUACAGGUUAUAUGAUUGAAGGUCCAAGGCAACAUGUCAUUAGAUAGAAUAAUAAGAAAAUCAGAGGUGAUUUACUCAUGAGAUUUAUCUGUACACUAAGUACCUUUGUGACGCUUAUAUCGAGUAUUGCACUGAGGGCAACACUGGUUGCCUUCACUCCUCUCAUAAUCAUAACAAGGCCUACAAACUGGGAAGCCACACACAUGGCAGGCCACAAACAACUCGCCACCUUCUUUGAAUCCUAUAUCAUCUCCACAAACUCUGCAUACUUUCGACACUGACUGCCGUGUUGGAGGCAGGUUCUGCAUCAAACGCAACAAGUUAACAUCAACAGACACAAAUGCUGAUAUCAAAAAGGCUCAUAGGCUAUAGGAGUUGUACCUCUUCAGUGGCGCGCAACGCAUGUAGUUCAUCUUCACCUUGGUUGUGAGAACCAGUAUACAAGCCUGCCAUGGAGUUUGAGGCCAUGGCAAGCAAUGCAACCAAAACUAAGGAGAUACAACUGAUCCAAAGAUGGAUGGUGAGAGAGGAGGAAAGGGAAGGAGGGCAUUAUAUUGGUAUGUCUGGAGCUUGUAAAAGAAUAAUAUGGAAGUGUGAGUGUGUUGUCUCUACCUACUGUGAGUUGGGAAGUCAUAGGUUUGAGUCUAAGAGACGUUAUUCAUGAAACUACAGGUGAGAGAGUCUUUGGGUUUGCUUGCUUUGUUUGCUUGGUAUGUUAAAGAUCUCCAUGGCUAGUUAGCUUAGAAUCAAAGGUGUCUCUGAAGUAGACACCAAACUUUUUUUUCCUUUUAUUAAAUAGACAAUAAAAAUGAUGUACAUACACCUUGACCUUCUCUAUCUGUCAUGUACCCAACUUAUCAAUUCCUCUCAAAAAAACUUCUCAAUCCUUACUGUGCUAGAAAGGUAACUCGUCAUUCAUCUAUGAUUUAUGACACAAAAUCUAACCAAAAAUUCAUAAGGAUUCUGCCAUUCUCAAAUUUCUUCAACUGUUUAUAUGCUCGUAUAGAAAUGUCAAAUGCGCUUCACUCAUUAGCCACACAAAUCUGUAGAUUAUUUGUGCAUAAUCAUGGUCUCCAGUAAUUACAUGAAGUGAUAGAAAUGAUGAAUUAACAAUAGAUAGCUAUUAGUCAUAAGGUUAACUGCAUUAGGAUCAAGACUCUGGCUAAUUAACUUAAAACCAUCAGCAAGACAGAACAGACUGCUGACUGCAUAGGCAUUAUUCAAUGCUGAUGCGAAUAUUAUCAUAUUAAAAUCAGAAGAUGAAAAAAGAAAAAAGACCAGAAAAGCUCUUUUUCUUAGGCAACCAAGCCUAUCUUAAAAUUUAAAACCAUCUAUAAUCAAGAAUGAUUGGUCAGUCUAAUACUGGUUUAACAGAUGAUACUGCUAUUCUUUAAUUUUGGGACGCUUAGGAGGUUGGGAACUGGACAUACAAACAUCCGGCUCAGAAUCCGUGGGAGCUUCAGUUUCAGGGGACUUUUGCUUUCCUAUAGGCUCCUCAGCACAUUCUGCUGAUGCAACUAUGGAUUUGGCAGGAUCAUGUUUGGUCUUGUCAUGCUCCACCUUGGAGGUCUCCAAUUCACUUUUAUCAGGAGAAACUUGCAUUGCCUCAGAAGGCUGAGCAGAAGGAUUUUCCACACCGGAUGACGACGCAUUCAUAUUGUCAAUACUGGAUUUGCAUUGCUUUUCAAACAUCAUUUGAAGGUACUUCCCUUGUUCUUCAAUUCGUAACUGUAGAUUUCUCUGAAUCUGCAGAGGGGAAAGUCAAAAAAAUCACACUGAAAAUUACCCAGAGAGAAACACAGGAAAGCUCAAUAAUACACGAUAAGACAAACAGACACUGAGAAGGUGAAGUUUCAUUACUAUAUGCAAGUGAGAAAUUAGGGAUCAAAUAAGUUACCAAGAAAAUCCUUUUUUCUUUUGUUUGAACGAGCAAAUUCAUACCUCAAGCUGUUCAUGCAGCCGCUUCUGAACUUCCAUCUGCAGUCGCAGAGCUUCAGUGAUCUCGAUACCCCUAUAACCAAAAUAAGAAAUAAUGGAUAAGUAUGGGAGAGAAAGAUGAAAUGUCACAAUCAAACCUGUACUGACAGUCACAAAUAUCAUAUGUGACAUUUGGCAUUCUGUUAGACCCAAUUAUAUCUUAAUUGCAUUCAUAUUGCUCGCUAUACUUGAGCAAUUGAAGCAAAUGUCAGGCAUCUUUUCGGAUCUACUCCCAUCCCCCACCAACUGCUCUUAGUGAGUGAACAGCUAGUUAAAGGAAACCUUUAACGCAGAGCCCUAAAGCUUUGAAAAAAAAAAAUUAUGAUACACUAGUAUACACAGUAAAUGGGGAAGAACCUCUGGUUAUGCAAAUUUAAGAUUUGUAAAUGUGUAACGUGUGUAAUCUGACAAACAACCUACACCCCAGUAACUGGGUAACCACAAGGGGUUCAUCAGCUGUUGCAAUGAAUUCAGUUAAAAGUGUUCUUCAGAUGCUUACGUUUUCAAGUCUAAAGAUGUCAUUUCUUCGAGAGGAGUUAAUUUUUUCUCCAAUGAUCCUGCAGAAAGACAUUGAAAACACAAUACAAUGUUAAAUAAGGUCAUAUACAAAUGCCACUUAAUCGAGUAUAGCAUGAAACUCCAGGAAGCAAAAACAAGCAUUUCAACAUAAAUAUGGUAUUGGUGGAUGGAUUAAUAAGAAAAACUGAAAUAGCUAAGAUUAAAAAGAGACACAAAAUGAGAAAAUUCUAGCAAUGCUUAGAAAUGAUGAGAUAAUUUGAUAGGAUAAUGUCGUCCAUAAAAAGUGAGAAUAAAAUGAACUAGUCUUUGUUAUUAACAAGAAACAUAGAAGAAUUUGUAAUUAACAAGAACAGAUCUUUGUCACUUUGUAUCAAAUUGCUGCUUGUUUAGGUGAGCCCGUUACCUCUGCCCCACACUACAAAUAUUAUAUUAUAUAAAUGGUGCAUUGACAUAAUUUCACCUAGACAAUUGAAUAAAACCCAGUGUCCAAAACAGUUCAAAAUUACAGGUUCAAAUAUGAUGAGAGAAAAACAAAGCAUCACGAGAAACAGACCACAAUCAUGCCUAAGUAAAUACAGGCUAAGCAAACAUCUUUUAAUGCAUAAUAUAUACAAAACAUCAAACAGAACUGAGAUAUAAAUUCAUGCAUGUACAUUACAAAGUCAAUCACUAUAUACCUUCUGAUGAGAGGAACAAUUCAAAUUUACAGGUUCAAAUAUGAUGAGAGACAAAAGCAUAAUGAGAAACAGACCACAAUCAUGCCUAAGUAAUCACAUGUUAAGAAAAUAUAUUUUAAUGCAAAAUUUAUACAAAACAUCAAACAGAAUUUAGAUAAAAAUUCAUGCAUGUAUAUUACACAGAGUUAAUUACUAUAUACCUUCUGAUGAGUCUGGUCUGUAUCUAGCGGUCCUAUAUUUCUGCAAAUUAAAAAUCUCCAAUUAAAAACAAAGUUCCUUCUUAAAAAAAGAAUAUUCCAGAAAAAAUAUCAGCAAGAAACACUGGUAAAGGAGGUUUUUUACCUGCAAGUGACUUUUCACAUGAUAGAUAGUCAAGCUUUCCACUUUCAUCAGCUUCAGCACACCCUUAGGAGUUGCUCCUGUAAGAAAUGAAAAGUUUAACUCGGGCAGAAUAUUUUAUCUUGGGCUAAUAAUUUGUGAAGCCAGAUAAAGUACUCACUUUCACUACCACCAAGUUGGUUAACAGCUUCGACAAAAGACUCAUGAAGUUCUGGUGUCCAACGCAUACGUGGCUUCGCUGCGGCACUGUUAGCUGAGGAAGGAGUAGUAGUAACAGAAAUUAUAUCCUUAGAUUGACCAGGAAGGAUUUCUCUAGAUGGAGCAGGAAUGAUUUCUGUAGAUGAAGCAGGAUGUUGCUGAGAGACUUGGGACUGCUGAGCUGAAAAAUUCAAAGAUGGUUCUCUAGAUGAAGCAGGAUCUUGCUGAGAAACUAGGGACUGCUGAGCUGAAAAAUUCAAAGAUGGUUUGGGAACCUGGUAUGUCAUCUGAAAUAACAAAAUCAGAUCCAAAUUGGUUUUUUGGCCAUGCAUUAUUCAUUUCAAAUACAUAUAAUGAACAGCCACAUGAGAGUCUUAACCUUUGGUUCCAGAUUUGUAACAUUGUCGUCAACGAGAAGAUCACUCCAGUUAGAAGUCAAAGCAUCAUCAUCAGUAACUAGCUGGCUUGCCCACUCCUGCCACUCAUCUGCAGCAGCCAUAAUGCCACUACAACUACUGCUCUCUAUUUGACUAUUCUGAACAGGGGUAUUUACAGGAAAAUCAAGGAACCCUGGCAGAGAAUCUGUACCCCAUGAAUGACUGUUUUCUUUGGAAUAGGCACAAGACGCGGUAGAUUGAAAAGCUUCUGAAGGAGAAGAAUGUGAUAAUGGUAUAGACGCAGAGCUUGAGGACUGUGAAAUGAAAGGACUCUUUCUUGACUGCUUCUCACGAGGCGAAAUAGAUGAGUAGUGAAGAUCUGUUGAGAAUCUUGAUGGUGAUGAAAUUAUGUGACCAAUUACACCACUGUUAGAUGUCAAGUGACCUGCAUGAACAACAGAUCUUUCCAUCGAAACCUGUUGUGAGUCUUGCAACUUGGGGUAUGUCUCCUGCGAAGGGGAUUGAAGGACUGGUGUAGAUGAAGAUAGUGCUCCAGAGACUCCCAUGUGACUAUUUGCAGUUGAUCUCCGAAUGGCAGGGCGUGCCUCCAUUGCUAGUUCUAAAUCAGAAAACUGAGCAUCAGUAAAUACUCAUAGUCAUUACUAAUUAGCUAAUAGCAAAGCUUGUGAAAGUGGUGACACUUACCAACUUCAAAACCUACAGAACACACCCUGAUUUCUUGUUCUUAUUGCUCAACCACAGAAACCAAUCAUCAAAUUCUACCUGUGAAUAAUCAAUAAAAGCAAGUCAACACCAACACAAACCAUGACAAAAUAAAAUCAUUUCACGGCCAUAAAAAUGACAGAAAUUCUCCCAUAUCUUUGGAAAGAAAAAAGAUUGACAAAUAGAACGCACACCGCCUUUACAAUAACCCCUAAAACUACAAGUCCAGCGGAAACCCUGAUUAUCACACGAGAACUUCUCCAAUAAAAAACAAAAAACAAAUUUCUCUUCAACAUAUUUCUGAGCCAGUUCACGAGUAAGUUGUACUGGUACAUAACACAAUCACAUAUUCACACUCUGGAUUAGCUUAAAUAAUCUUAAAACCUUCUGCUACAAAUUCAUGUUUUCCGAUUAAAAUUUUCACAGUUCUACCUCUCAAAUGUAUCCUAAAGCUAUACUUACAGCUAUAUUACCGAAAACCAGCUCGCAGAAUCAGAAUUUCAUCAAAUAAUUUAACACAAAAGAACACAUUAUUCAUCACCAAAACGAUGAGAGCACCAAUUCAAUUCAGAACCUAAUAAUCCUAAUUGAAUCGAAUUCCAAUUGAGAAUCCCUAACCUGAAGCAGAAUUAUCAUAAAGCAAUAUUGAAAAUUGAAAUUGAAAUUGAAAUUCGUACCUAAAAAUUUGAGAGCGAGCUGCACCGAGAAAAGAAAGCCAAAACGAACCAGAAAGGCGCAGGAGAAGAAUCGAAUCGUGAACCACGAGAGAGAGAGAGAGAGAGGUGUCUAGGGUCACAGGCGGGUGUUUUGAAUUCCGUCACCGGCGAUUAAGAGAAAGAGAGAGGACGACGAGUGUGUGCGCCCCCCUUUUGGGUAUCUCUCUCUCCUUGAUUCUAAUAAAACAAAAAUAAAACAGUGAUUUACUCCACGCGCCUCAAGGUGCGUGCUGACCAGUCUUCCUCGAAAUCGACGGGCAUACGUGGCGUGGGGCCCACAUUUGGCGGCUAGUGAUUGGGUGUACGGUGAGUUUCAGAGUGGGGUGCACGGUGGGGCUAAGGUUUUCAGCGUUGCACAGUAUUUUUUAUUUUUUUUGAGAAAUAAUUGAAAUGGUCUUUGGAGUUGCCCAAACGACCAAUAUGUCGACAUUUUUUCUAAUUCGUCUCUUUUUGGCUUUUUGCUUCGUGAGGAUACGAACGAUAGCUAUACACAUUUGUAUGACAUACAUUAAGCAGUAAGCCGUCUAAUUAUUUAGCAAUUUAAAACAAGAUGAUCGAACGGAUCAAGCUGAUGCUAGCUAUAUAUAUAUGUAUAGUAAAAAAGUCCGAUACAAACAAAAUGCAUCAUGAUAAUAGUGAAUAAAUAUAACUUUUUGUAUUUAUUUACAAUUUAAAUUUAAGAAUUUAAACUAGAAGCUUCUAGCUUCAUAUGGCUUACGGUAUGGAAUUGACCUAAAAUGUAACGGGAGUUUGUAACUAAAAUGAGUACUUGUAUGAGAGUGAAAUUCUCUAAUGUUGUUGUUUUGUAAAUUAUUUGUUCCGAUGAAAUUGCUCUAAACACAACUUUAAAUACUCAUGCUACAAAAACUAUCAACUAAUAACGAUGGAUAACAAGCGACAUUGAGUAAUCUUUCUAUUGUUAGAAACUUUGAAAAGAAAAUUGUGCAACAUGACUUACUCCACUAUAUAAGGCCAAGAAUGCACUAUAGUAAGGAUUUCUCUUUUAAACCUGUCUUAUUUUGGUAAGUGACAUGUUUCGGAGUUUUUAAAAUUUACAAGUGUUGUUUUAGUAAAAUGCACAAAUACAUACUCCUAAAACAACUAAACAUAUUCAUAGGUAGCCUUCAACUCGAUGUUGUAACCUCAACAAAGUAGUUGAUCGUCAAAGCUUUGGCUUGGCAUGAAAGCUUGUAAAGGGUGAGCUGGUCUUGGCAUGAAAAAGCUGUAAACGAUGACAACUGCAUAACUGCUUCACGCCUUCAAUAGCUUCUAGGAUUAUAACAUCAAUGAGAAAAUUCAAUUUUCUUUUUCAUUUUCGCUUUCUUUACUGUGUUGCAAGCAAUUGCUUGAUCACCUUGAUGAGGCAAAACUAUGCAUGCCAUAUAUUAUGAGUCCAAUUCAAACAAGUUAUACCAUCUCUGUUUUAAAUUGCUAAAGAGAGAGGAAGCAUUCUCUUCUUUGGUUUGGCAAAGAAAGACAAUUACACAAGUUAUCAAAUUCCUAUAAUUUAUGCUCCUCCGAAUAAUUCAAAGGAUUUUUAUGUAGGGAUCACAACUCAUACAAGAUUAUGACCAAGUUGUCAACUUUGCAAUGCAUGGAUGCAAAUGCAAUAUGGGAGAAUAUACUUUGAUACUCAAAAACACUGAUCGAACUGAACAAAAGGACAAAGUUUAUGCUGUUUAGCCUAAUACAGCAAUGAUCUGUGGACUGAAAUUGCAAGCUAGAUAUAGUACAUGGAAUUGGGUAGUUUGAAUGUUCUUUUAGCAGCAGGAAGGCCCUCGAAACUGCUCCACUGGUCUCCGAUGAUUCCCCGAAUGCGGUAACCUUCAUCGAUCAGUCGAUGCCUUGCCUUAGACUUGUACAUCUGCACUUCCAUAAAUUCAUCUUCGAGACCCCUGUAACGUGUUAGAGGUAUACAUCAUGAAUCUAGUCAUUGUUUGUUUAUGUGUUCAUCCUAAAAAUGAGGGAUUUGAGAUCUUAGUAGUAGAGCCACAUACCUUAGUACAAGACUAGUCCAUCCAUGGUAUCCAACCUUAAUGAGGUUAUCUACGCUUGAAGAUCUAAGGGUCUCCCUCCUUGUAGAGAUGAGAAAGAUCUUAAAUCCUUGGUCUUUAAUAUCAUGGAAGAGCUUUAAAGUGUGCUCUAGAGCUGGUGCCUUGCUCUCUUUCAUCCACGUUUCCAAAGAUGUUGCAUUCAGCUUCUCUCCCCUAGUUUGAAUUUUCCAAAAUAAGAAUUACCUAGUCAGUCAUUCCACAGUAGAAGAAGAACAACAACAACCGUAUAAUAUCUAGUCUGUAAUGUUUCCUUGUCAAUAUCGAGUCUAACUAUGUUGUAGGCACAAAUUGAUCAUUCAUUUGGCAAGAAGACACUAUUCAUAAAUGUAAUGCGUACGUUGAUAGAUAAUGUUUUUUCAUUUUAUAAAUGACAUGUUAUGUUGUCAGAUUAUGAAUCUAAGACCACGUGCAUAUUCAAAUUAAUAAGAAUAUAUUUAUUUUCAUUUUUUUGGUUACAAUAAGAAUUUAUUUGAUUCGGAAUGGCGACACAACAUUCUGAUAAGAUAGUGGAAUAUAAUUUGAAGUUGUACUUACCCAAAACCAUGUUUCUUGAAAUAAGGAAUAGUGGAGAUGUGUAUCAUCAACAUCAAAAAUCCAAGCAUCUUUACCAUCACCCUCCAAAGUGCAGCAGUAACUGCUGCUCAGGUAGAGAGUGACUUCCUCCAAGGCCCUCUCUGAGUCAGCGUUGUACUGAGAAGAUGUCAUGUAAUUCCUUAUGUGCUCAACACAUUCUUGAGGCACCACAUCAAACCCUCUAAUGUUGUUGACCUCCACAUUGAUCCUCCAACUCUCACAGUACUUCUUCAAGCCAUCUCCCACUGCCCCAUUGUUACUCUUCUUCUUCUGGUUCAAAAUGCUCCAAUCUGCUGCAACCACAGUGAAGAGGCUUGAGAUCAAAAGCAGGAACUCUAUGAGCUUUCCCAUUUGCAAAAUGAGGGACCGAGGGAGUGGAAAUGGGUGAGUUUAGAACAUUUGAUAGGCAAAUUAAAAAGAGUGGCAUGGGCUGUGGGGUAUGAAUGUUAUGGUCUUUUACUGGGGAUCACAUGGUUUGCAAUCAAUUUUGGGGAUUAAUGAAUGUUUAUGAUGGACAAAUGGACAAAAACCAAAAUUGAGAGGCAAUCAUAAUUUUGAGAAUUGUUUGCUACGGUGUAUGGACUAUCUGAUCUAUUAAGUAGCACCCAUUCUGCCUCAUAAUUUUUGGAACUUCAAUAUCAUACAGCAUUGUCAGGCUCAGGCAUUCACAUCAUACUGAUGAAGAACAUGAUGGGUCUCAAAGAUGUGUUUGAUCCAUCACAAGGCUCACCCAUACUGAAUAAUUAAAAAGUGAUUCUCAUCGAGCUUUACAGUGAUUUUGAUGCUUGGUGAUGAAAUGGAUGAUAUAUGUUAUUCAGGAAGUCUUUCUAACGAGGACCUUUAAGUUGAGGCCUAGUUGAAGAUUUUUCGGCUUAUCCUACUUUUCGAUCUUAUAUCCACAUCUUGACCGUUCAGUUUAUAUGUAUUUAUGAGUAGAUCAUUUCUGUAAAUUUUCAACCAUAUUGAAAAUCGUUAAGACAUUCAUAAGUGUGAUAUACCAAUUAUGAACUUGAACGUUUCAUGUUUGACAGAUUCGGUUCGUUCAUUAAUUUGAUAUAGUUUGUUACCUUAACAAUCACAGAUUUGGCUGAAAAUUUGGAGGGUUGAUCUAUACAUAUAGACCUAAAAACUGAAUGGAUGAGAUGUCAAGAUGUGAUCGAAAAAUAGGUCAAUUAAACCAUAAACCGAAAAGUCCUUAACUAGUCCUCAACUAAGAGUCCUCACUAGAAGGGCUCCCAUGUUAUUCAAUGAAUUGCUUAUUCUUUUCUUCUUUUUCUUUUCAUAAAACAUUACUAUGUUCCUUGCUUUCUAUGAGUGGCUAAACUCAUUGCAUUAACAUAGUGAUGACAUGGUUUGAAAGUUUGAUGCAAGCUAUUUGGUUUUCUACCUGCCUCAGGAAACAAAAAACAAAAAGUAGAUGAAGCAUGAUGGUUUACUAUAAUAUUGAGUAAUCCAUUAGGAAUGUUUGCCAUGUUGAACUGUAAGUGGUGAAGUUUGGAUUCUUUGGCAUUUUUAAAAGAGGAGGAAACACAAUUUAGGUAUAGUUUGUGGAUGGUUUCGAUCUUGAAACACCAAAGAAUCAUGGAGAUGAAUGGUGGAGGACCCAAGACCAACCAAUGUGCAAAGCUGACUCAUCUUUCAUUAUCUUUUUCACAGGAAAAAAGAUGCUUCAUCCACUCCUGAAAGGAAAAUGGAGAAUGUGAAAUAAGCAUUACUAAGAACAGAACUUUCAAGGUCAGUUUUCUCCUUCAUCUUAUCAACAAAAAUGACCAAUGAAAAAGGCCAUUGCAGAGACAACAGGUUGACAUUGAAACAAAAUUUGGCAUGCUACUAACAGCCAACAUUCUACAUGGAAAUGGAAGUUGCAUGCUAUACAGACUCGAGUAAACUCGAAAAUAUCUAUACAUCUUGAAGGAAAACACCGUGCCUUCAAUGGUAUCUGGGAAACUACUCUUUUGAAAGCACAAAUCAUCAUCGGAAGCUAUGAGGUAAGACAUGAUCAUCGAAACCAUUGUCAAAGUUGAGAGAAUAGCUAUGAAUGUCAUAACUGAACUGGCCGUAUCUCUUUCGCCGUCCCAAAGCUUUUCUGCAUUGCAACUCUAACUUCCGAAUCAGCUGCCUCAAAAGAUGAGAUCCGCGGAAACAACCCAAUGAUGCUCUACUUUCAACACUACCAAGUGUGACUGCUGGCCCGGUGCUGGCAAUUCUCCUCCCCAACUUCAAACACUGCAUUCUCCAAGGGCUAGACAUCCUUGAAUCCUUCAUUUUUAGGCUCUUGUUAUCUACCCUCAGCUGCUGAGUUGUUUUAUAGAGAGAAUAUAUGAGCAGGAGCGUAAAGGCAAGAGCGUCAAUUGCUCACAAAAGAACAUGUAGGUGAAGCUUUCAAGUAUCAGUUCCCAUCAGCAGGUUAUCUGUAUGCUGUCACAUUCUCAUUGGCCGAAGUUGAUAAACAUUAUUAUCAAGAGUCCAAUAUGCUUUGCUUUGAUACCAUAUCCAGGUCACCAAGGUCCCAUUCUACAGAAAGGUAUGGAAACUUGCCUCUACUGAUGCAAUGUCGGUAUAGAUGACCAAUCACUUUUGGAGUAGAUUGAUUUCUGCACAGUCACUGAUGUUUAUGGGGUUGUAUUUUGCUUCUGCUUCGACCAAAGACUGAUAGUGAACUUCCCUGGAAGCUUGUACGUAGAAUGAGGUCCACUCCUACGUCAAAAGAUCACACCGUCCAUCCCCAGAUAACGAUAGUAACCUGAUUAAUCACACUGCUGUUAGCUUUAUGUAGCUUUACACAUAGUUGAUCACGCUUUGUACACGAUAACAGAUUGGCCUACAAAGAUCAUGAGGAUUUUCGAAACAGUGUUCGACACGUGUAUGAAUGAAAAGAUAUUAUCAAAAGUGUUCAUUUUACCCGGAAAAACAGUUCUGCAGUGAGAAUAAACCCCAGCUGGGCACCUAGGAAACCAGGAAUGAACGAAAACCACGUUCAUGUAAAGACGAAGAAGAUGAUGUUCACGAUAAAACACCCUUUGGCAAAGCAAGGCUUCCAUGUAUCAUAUAGUUUCCAAAAUCAUUAUCUAGACAAUUAAACUUGAGAUAUUUCAGUCACAAGUUUUGGAAAAAAAUAAGCUACUUCAUGACAAGCAUCACAUCCUUCCAAAUGUCAAGCUUCAGCUACUCAUUCAAAUUUUAACCUAUACAUUCAGUUAUAUAAAGUCCGACUUUACGUCGGGAUGAUUUAUCUAACAUUUUUAAGGACAUAAAUCACAUAACUGACUACUAGUAGCAAUUAUUCACUGUUAUGGAGGAUCAAUAUUCUCAUCAUCAGAAGACUGACCUGAUAGUUCAAAAUAGCCUAGCAGAACCAUCAGCUAUGGGCAACUGGACGAGAGCCAUAAACAUGAAAAACGUAAAGGUACCAAAUUCUCUGAGCAAGUUCACCUGCAAAUGAGUUUUGCAGUAAUUAUUUGCUGGCAUUUUUUCUGAUACGGUUUCUACAAUGGAUACAAACAUUCUUCUUUACUCAGGGAAUGGAGUUACUAUGGAUUUAAGUCAAUAUACUCACAGUCAGUGUGCUCCUUCCUAUUGUGAGCACAGUCACAACAUCUACAACAAGGAAAUGACCAUGUAUUAGCUGCUAUUGACCCAGAAUUGUCUUUGUGCGAUAAACAUAUAAUCUGUACAAAUAAUCAUUUGGGAGAAAGGAGUUAAAACACAAAACCUCAUUGUCGAAAGAUCUCCCUUGACUUGAAUCUCAAUUUCGCUCAAAUAAAGGCUAAACAAAGGUGUCCUGCAACAUAAUUAUUGCCUUCUUAAAUUGGAAAACAGACGGACUGAAAACAAGUGUUAGUGCGUAAGUAUAAACAUGGAGAGAGGAUGAUUUUAGAAUCUCAUUGAGACAAAACCAGUCCACUUUCAUCUAAUAUAUCAUCAAUGAGUCAUGUACUCGUGCUUUUAAGAAUUGUAUACUAUUUGGUAAAACUAUUCUAAUGUGCUUGAUAGCAAAUAAAGGAAGGUGUUAUUUUUUAGCGCAGAUUGAAUGGAGAAAAGAAUCAUUCGAAACCAAAUCACUCGUUUCAGGUCCUGCGUUAACAAGAUGAUUGAUUCAAAACCAAAGCAUGGCAUAAAAUAGUGUUUAAAUACCAGAAUGGAAUUGCAACGGCUCCAAGAGCUGGGCAGAUUUUCCAUAACAGAUGCACAUGCCCAUCCAGCAUUCCACUCAGAUACUCAAGAAUGUCAGUUUCCUAGUUCCAACACAAAAGCCAACUAUGAUGAGCAAUGGAAGAUAAUAUUAUGAAGAUGUAAGAAAGACCUCACACAACACAAAACUGCAAAGUAGCAGACAAUGGUGGUGAGAGAUUUACUUGAAAGGAACGGACACAUAAACUAACAAACAUGUCAUGCUUUUCAAAAUCUGCAUGUACACACAUACUUGGAAGUUAAUAACUAACCUGGCUGAUUGCUUCCUGUUUAGAUCUAAGAGUUGUAGAUUCUCCCUGGAGUAAGUUGCAUACUUCGUGAUAUUGCUCCAAAAUCGUGCGAGAAUCAUAAGAAACUGACACCAAAUGCUCGAUUACAGAAGUCCAUCUGCUUGCAAUGCAUCCUAGUAACAUGAGCUCCUGUUUGAAGAGGGGAAAACCAAUACCCAUAGUGCGAGUACAAGAAAUUAAUAUAUUCAGCUUUCACAGUUAACAUCACGACUUUACCAGGUGAAGAAAUGUAAUGCACACAACACAAUUAUAGACAACGGAAUUGACUACAUGAUAAGGUACACUAAAUUCAAGCACACUAUAUAAUGCCCAUAUGUGCAGAUGUGUGAUAAUACACAAGUCUAUAGCAGCACAUGACCAUGAAACUAGAAAACAAGUAUUCCUGAAGAGAAUCAAGCCUUCAAGGAAUCAAUACAACUUUAAUGUAAUUUGUUUGAGGCAUUGGACUGACUUACAAUUGUUUCGCACAAACCAUCAUCACUGCCUCCUGCUAAAUCAUUGAAGUUUAACUGUGGGAAAAUUUGUACCCACUGAAUCUUAGGGGUAGAAAAUACCAAGCUGGCACCAGAGACCAAUUGAACAGUUCUCUUAUCAAGAAAGUACGAGAGGCUAUCUGACUUCCAGCGGUUCCAUGUCAGACAACCAACCAACCAGUCGACAGUCCUGAAUAAGCAGCCACAAGAUAUUUCAGUUCAGGCCAUAGCAGUGAGAUCCUGAAAGCAUGAAAAUUUAACAUUUUGAUUUCUCAUGUGAAGUAUCUAAGAAAUAUUCAUGACUUAAUUAACUGCAACCCCAGAGAAGUCAAUAAUGUGAGAUACUGUCACUAACAGACUAGACUGUCAACCAAGAAAAAUAAAAGAGACAAGACACUCGCUAUUCUUACUAAUACUACUCUCACACAUAGGAUAGAACUCACUACACCAGCUCAAUGAUUCACUUUUCUAAGAUACAAAUACACACACUCACACAAUUCCACUUACACUGGAGUAUUUUCACACUUCAGCUGCUCUUUCAAUAAGUUAUCAUCAAACUCACUCCAACUGCUAUGUCUGACACUUUGAGAAACAACAUCCAAGCCUGUCUCAACCGUUUCCAUCAAAGAAACCACAGACCACCUCUUCAAGAUCUCAUGAACCGCAUACUUAGUCAAACCAUCACCACCGCAAUCUCCAAACUUUCUAGCCGGCUCAAUGCCUUCCUGAAUUGGUGCAUCCUCCAGCUUCAACUUGUUGAGAUACACAUUCAGAAAAUCACUAUCACUUCCUGAUAACUCCUCAAGAUCCAUCUCCACAGUUGCCGUCAGCAAAGCUCUAAAAUGUGCAUCUCUCAAAGGUAAACUAUGGAUGAGAUGCUCCAACACAAAACGCCGUGCUGUACCAAGAGUCACACUUGACAUAUGUGCAAGACCCUGAAGUAAAACAACUAAUCUAAUAAGACUAGACUUAAAACUUCUCCAUAAACCAAUAAACACCAACCAAAACAUUAACUUGUAAAAAGCUAUAACCUUAGGGAAAGAAGCAGCAGAUGUCAUUUCAGAAAUAGCCCCAUCAAGUUCCAUCACAGAAUCCACAUAAUCAUCAGAGCUGCUAAAGCUCCCCAUAAACUAAUCACACAACACCAAAGAUCAAAACUUUACACCAAAUAGGCUUCAAGAAAUAUGAAUUACCCUUCAAAUUGAAACUUAAUAUGAAUUGGGGGAGAAGUGAAUAGUGAAUACCCACAUUUUCGAAGAAGAGGCCCCACUGAAAAGCCUUCUUGAUAUUCUGGGAGUCCCAGUGAGCGAGACGACCAGAGGAUUGGUACCCAGAAAGCAGAAUCAGUAUAUCGACGAAUCCUUUAACCAGUUUCAUCAAUUCUUGCAAUGAAAGAUCUGGGUGGCUCCAACUCAUCGUCCUCUUGGCCUCUGAAAAGUUUCCCCAGCGCAAUUUGUUGGGUUUUUUUUUGGAAAUUUUCAAGGACUGAAAGGAAGGCCGAGAUGUGUUUGAUGAAAAGAGCGAAUGGGAAAGUGAAUGGUGGAGGGUGCUACUCAGAAUUUGUAAAACCCUUUGAGCGCGGCUUUGUGUUGAUUUGGCUUUUCUGAUUUUCCCGCCCUCCGGCACUUUUCUUUUUUGUUUUUUAUAUCACCCAUUUUCAAGAUUAUGUAUCAUAGGCUCAUAGCUACCUCAAAACUAGGGUUUAGGGUUUUGAUUAUGAGCUACAAGAUUUUACCGAUUAGUGUUUUGGUUUGUACAUUCAUGCACCGAUAUGUUAAGUAUAUCAGUUGUGCAUAAUGGUAAAAUGACUUUAUUUAGUUAUAAACGAAUUAAUUUUCGAUUUAAGUCAGGUAAAAGUUGUACAGAGUUGAUUUGUCAUUAUAGACUCUCAAAAAUAUUGAUAUCUAAUUAUGUGUUUGCUAAUUAACGUGCCAUAUUACUACUACCAUCCAUACAGUUUAAAACAAAUAAUAGUACUCUGGUUUCAGGAGAAAGGGCACAUCCUUGCAUUUCAUGGCGCCACGAGCCACCGUUGCAGUAGUACUCCAAUCUUCCACGAAAUUAUACAUCUAAUACAAAUAUACAUAUGAAUUCGAUGAAUUAAUAAGCAAAAGUGGUUCCUCAUAAAAGAUUCUUUUGUCCCAAGACACGCAUCUCAUCAAAACGAUGGUGCUCAAAUAUACGCAUAUUUCCGGCGGGUCUUUCAACUGGAAUAUGAUAAACUACAUUGUGAUGAUUGCGAAGGAAGUAUGUGCCCGGCCAAAUUUGAUACUUCGGUGCCGAUACAUGUCCGAUGAGAACACCCUGGCUCCAAUAAGGUGCCUCGUGUUGAGUUGCAACACCUACAUCAUGAUCUGAUAAUUGCAUACCAUUACAUGCCUUGCCCUCAUUUUCAUCAUGCUCAUGCUUAUGCUCGUACACAAGUUGGACUGCAAGCUCCUUUAUCAAGAUCGGAACAUACAUGUAGUCGGUAUCCACAGAAACACGUAGUUCUUCCCCACACUCUAACUCGUCAUUCUCAAACUGCCAAUGGCUUAGCCAUGACAUCUUUUCAUUCUCUUUUGGAAGACCUACACUGACAGGGCAAUACGACCACAUAACACCUUUCGCUUCGUUACUGGCUUUUACAAUCGGUGAGGUGCAAAUAUCCUCAAUUUUUCCACGUCUUGUGUAUACGACACAGACAUUUAAGCCUGUGAUCUUGAGUUUAGGAUGGGAAGGAACAAUGAUAGACAUGGCGGUACUUGUACCAAUUAGGAAUCUUGUUUCCAUGAAGGAAAAUGCUGAAUAUACCACAUUCAUACAGACCCUGUUUCAUAUGUUUGAACAAUAUAAACCUAGUUAUUCAAAAACGAUAAUUCUAUAUAUAUAUAUAUAUAUAUAUAUAUAUAUAUAUAUAUAUAUAAAAAUGAGUGUGAGCAAGAAUGUUAGAAUGAGAACCUGGAGGGGACAUGUCCUUGUUGUAUGUGACAUGCAAUUGAACAUUUCAAGCUCAUCGGUGCCUCCAAAGGGUUCCAAAUUGUACAACCCCAUAUUUCUUAUCAUUUCCACAUCAAGCUCGCUGAUCAAUGGCUUUAUACUGAAGAGGUUUCUUACUUCAACUAAUUCGCGACAACCGUGGAGUUUCCAAGUGAAAAUACUUGGUGAAUAUAUUUUCAUUGCUGUACACUUGCUUGCAUUCAAAAAAUUUAAACUUGGUGGAACCUCCGGAAUCAUUAUGAGGUUUGUGCAACUGUAUAGAUUAAGAGACUCGAGCGCAGUAUGACUCUUCAUGUUUCCAGGUAAACUCGCAAAUGGAUUGCCACUUAGAUCCAGCUUCUUUAGUGAGGAGAAGAUGCUAAGAUCGCUGAAAAUCUCUGAUAGAUUGCAAUAAGCCAGGUUCAAGCUUACUAAAGAAUGUGGCAACUGUACCAAUGAGAAACCUGUUGGUUCAACACUUCUGCUUGGUGAUACCCGCGACCAAAUUGAUUGCCAAGAUUUAUUUGAUAACAGGAUGAAGAAAUUCCUCAAAUCAGUAGCUGUAUUAGCAUGAAGAGAAAGGUUUGAACAACCAGAAAGGUUUAGUUCCUGCAGAGAUGUCAACCUGUCAAUUGUUUCCGGGAGCUUCUUGAGAUUUUUGCAGUCUGUGACAUUCAGGAAAACGAGUUUCUCGAGUUCACCAAUGGAGUCAUCAAUCUCAGAAAUGUUCGUGCAACCUUCAAGGAUCACUACCAGGACAAGCACUUUAGCCGACGAAAAAUUUUCGUCGGCCUGUUAUCUUAAUUCGUCGGCUAAGAUCUUAGCCGACGAAGGCUCGUCGGCUAUAGUGUCGUCGGGAAAAGGUCGUCGGUGAUGACUUUAGCCGACGAAAUUUUUUUUUUCGUCGGCUAUAGUCCCACAGUUAGCCGACGAAAAACAUGUCGUCGGUUUUUUUCCCAGACUUUAGCCGACGAAACAAUUAAUAUAUUCGUCGGCUAAAGUGUGUAAUAAAUAAUUAAAAAUAACUANNNNNNNNNNNNNNNNNNNNNNNNNNNNNNNNNNNNNNNNNNNNNNNNNNNNNNNNNNNNNNNNNNNNNNNNNNNNNNNNNNNNNNNNNNNNNNNNNNNNNNNNNNNNNNNNNNNNNNNNNNNNNNNNNNNNNNNNNNNNNNNNNNNNNNNNNNNNNNNNNNNNNNNNNNNNNNNNNNNNNNNNNNNNNNNNNNNNNNNNNNNNNNNNNNNNNNNNNNNNNNNNNNNNNNNNNNNNNNNNNNNNNNNNNNNNNNNNNNNNNNNNNNNNNNNNNNNNNNNNNNNNNNNNNNNNNNNNNNNNNNNNNNNNNNNNNNNNNNNNNNNNNNNNNNNNNNNNNNNNNNNNNNNNNNNNNNNNNNNNNNNNNNNNNNNNNNNNNNNNNNNNNNNNNNNNNNNNNNNNNNNNNNNNNNNNNNNNNNNNNNNNNNNNNNNNNNNNNNNNNNNNNNNNNNNNNNNNNNNNNNNNNNNNNNNNNNNNNNNNNNNNNNNNNNNNNNNNNNNNNNNNNNNNNNNNNNNNNNNNNNNNNNNNNNNNNNNNNNNNNNNNNNNNNNNNNNNNNNNNNNNNNNNNNNNNNNNNNNNNNNNNNNNNNNNNNNNNNNNNNNNNNNNNNNNNNNNNNNNNNNNNNNNNNNNNNNNNNNNNNNNNNNNNNNNNNNNNNNNNNNNNNNNNNNNNNNNNNNNNNNNCGUUAUUAUAAGACAAUAAUAUGAAAGGUGGAGGCGCAUCCCACCAUAUCAAUUCAGAGCAUGACGUACCUUGAUUUGCCAGAGCAUCAACUAUCUUAUUCCCUUCACGAAAAAUAUGAGUAGCCUUGAAAUUCAUUUUAGAGAUUCGGUAUAAGCAAUUCAACCAACGAACUCGAAGAGGCCAAGGAACAAGAGAAGGUCUGCGAAUAUAAUCAAGUACCAAAGAUGAGUCAACUUCCAACCAAAUAUGCUUCCAAUCACGAACCCAAGCAAGCUCAAUAGCUUUAAUAAUAGCCAUUAUCUCCGCUGAAAUUGAACUAAGAAUUUCAAGAUUAGAGGCAAAAGCACCUAGAGAGUGGCCCUUGUAAUCUCUAGAAAGUUCGCCUUAUAUGAAUCUAACUCUCUGGAGGAAAAGUUAUUUGAUAUCCAUGAGAAGAAACCAGGCCGAUGCCUUUUUGAACAAUUCCCAUCAUACUCUUCAGCAUGAUAUCGUUUGUUCUUACUUUUGAAAAUAGUCUUGGAAAGCGUAGUUUCCGUAGUGAUUAGGUUGAGCAUGAGACCCUCAAUAGUUUUUGUACCCUGCGAACAAAUCAGAAUAUUAAGUAAUAGUGCAACUGAACAACAUAAUCACAUAUGCAUACACAUGAAGAUCGGGAAUGUUUCUUACAUAUAUUUUCUCCAAGACAUCAGAUGCAUCCUUCUGCCACACUCUACUACGUUCUCCAGGGUCCUUCGACUCUUCGCGAACAAUUCCUCUUGCCAUGUCAAUAAGUAAUUGAUGCAUGAUUAACCUGUCACGAUCAACUUGAACUAAACAUCGAUUGACUAGAUUUUGAAUUCCAAUUCUUGUAUAAAAUUCAAGGUUGCUCAGUACUGUAAUUGUAAACUCUUUCUCCCUUCCUAUGAAAAAACAUGCUAUAUGAAGGAAUAAACUUUGGUCAUGAGGAUCUAGUCGAGUACCAUAAUAGCUUACUCUUAGAACUUCCUGAACUUUUUCAUCAAGAAACACGUCCAAUUUUGCAAUUGCCUCUUUCCAAAGAUUCACAUCCAGUCCAAACAGAGAAGACCCCAAAACUUGAAUAGCUAACGGAAGACCUCCACAAUGUUGUACUGCAGCUGUAGAAAGCUCCGUGUAGCUUUUGAUAGGAUGGGCUUGUCUAAAAGCAUGCCAACUGAAAAGCUCAAGUGAUUCUUCCUCAUGUAACUUUUCAACCAUGAACAUUUCAGAAAUCCCAUUUGUGAUUAGUAAGUGUUGAUUUCUGGUAGUUAUGAUAAUCUUACUUCCGUGACCAAAAGAUUCUCGCAUUUCAAGAAUUGCACUAAAUUGGUCUGAAUCCUCUACAUCAUCAAGAACAAUAAGAACUCUUUUGGAACGUACAAAUUGCUUGAUCCGGCUCUUUCCUUCAUCAACAUUGUAUAUCUUCUUUGGCUUCCGCUACUGGAUAUCCGAUAAAAGUUGCGUUUGCAAGCGAACCAAACCAUUAGGGUGUUUGGAAGUUGCUCUAAUAUCUGCAAGAAAGCUACUUCCUUGAAAGUUAGCGAAGUUCAUGUUAUAGGCAGCUUUUGCAAUGGUGGUUUUGCCAAUCCCACCCAUUCCAUAAAUCCCAGCUACACCAACAUCAGUUGAUCCAUCUCUUAACCACUUGUUUAUGUCUUUCACACGAUCAUCUAUUCCAAUCGCAUGGGGAGCAACAUUUAGUACUUUGGAUUCGAGUUUAUCUCCAAUGUCCUCAACAAUAUUUUCAAUCAGCUGUGCUUCAUACCUAUUAAAGAUUGAUAAAAAAAAUUCAAAACUUAGGAAGCGCAAUAACGUGAACAAAAUUUACUCUGCUAAGAAAAAUGGGUGCAAGAUUAAUUAAAUUAUUUUAUGUAAUGCUCAAUACAGAUGCAGUAGAUGUCUGAUCAGCGGAUUAAAACUACCAUGACUGAUCUUCUUUUAGAUCUAAAAAAAACAAAGAUAUAGUAUAAUUGUUGUAUAUAGUAAUAUAAUUGACGUUUCUUCUAAAAAAAGAAAUACGUACUGCUCUCCUAAGACCAUCCCUUUCAGUUUGGAAACAUCUCUCAGAGAUCUUCUCCACUCUUCCACCUUGCCAAUCUCAUCCUUGAAACGCUCUUCAACCAGUUUGGCAAAGGCUUUUCCGAAAGUUUCAGUCUGCUUCCCAACAUGGGAUGGUUCCACCUUAUAAAAAACUGGCAAGACCAUGUGUCCAUCAUCUCUAUUACGUUUCAUGAUCUUGGCAAGCUCGUCCAAACACCAUCUUGAGGAAGCAUAAUCCUCGGAAAACACGAUUAGUGAUACAUAUGAUUCCUGGAUAGCCUUCUGCAGCUCUACUGCUAUCUCUGCUCCUCUCUGAAUUUCAUCGUCAUCUCUGAACGUGUGAAUUCCUGCCAACUCCAAAGCUCUAUAGAGAUGAUCGGUAAAUCCCUUGCGUGUAUCUUCACCCCUAAAACUCAAGAAGACAUGAUAGCGGCAUCUGUAAGAGGAAGGAGAAGCAGCCAUUGACAAAGAAAAGAAAAGAAAUAGAACUUACAAAUCACUUAUGAAAUGCAAGAUGUGCGAAGUAUAUUAGAAGACGAAGCUUUUGUAGUACUUCAUAUAUAAUCGCAUGGCUUGUAUAUGAUGUGGACUCGUCCGUUGACCUACUAGUUUUAUCAGCUUUGAUCUUACUUGCUGCAGUCUUAUUUAUGAAAUUGCACAACUUGUUCCUAAAAUUGAAAUGAAGAUAAUCUAUACUACUCUUGCGUGUGAGCUUCAAGGUAUAUGUAUACCUACAACACUUGCCGUAUAUGAUGGUUGGCUUUAAUUAAUUGCUGAUUAGUAAUUUAGUAUAAAUUUAGCAAGUUCAUGUUACUUUGAAAAUCAACUUGUGGGAAACAAAUCACAAAGAAAGCCUAAUGUCAUCAAUUUGUGAGAAAAGAAAUCACAAACAAAACCGUGAUUCCAACUCUGUCCUAACAACCAAAUAGAAUAUUUCUCCGUGAUUACACUAGACUGACUAGACUAGCUAGUUAUAUUCACAAUAGACUAAUCUAAGAAGACUAGACUUAAAACUUCACCAUAAACCAAUAACACUAACCAAAACAUUAAAAUUGUAAAAAGCCUUAGGGGAAAGAAGCAGCAGAUGUCAUUUCAGAAAUAUCCCCCAUCAAGUUCCAUCACAGAGUCCACAUAAUCAUCAGAGCUGCUAAAGCUCCCCAGAAACUAAUCACACAAAAGCUCGCCAGAAACUAAUCCCCAGUUUAGGGUUUUUGAUUAUGAGCUACAAAAUCUUACCGACCUGUGUUUGUUUUUGUUAAAUUCAUGUACAUCGCAUCAUAGUAGGUUUUCGUUCAUUUGCCAUUAUAAACCGUUAAGAAAGUGUAACAAGUUGGUUUCUAAUUAUGUGUUUCGCUAGAUGUUACUAUUUCCGAUUGCUUAUUUUGAAAAUAUAUCUUCCACACUUACAAGUUACAACCAACUUCUUCAAAUGUAUUUGCUGAAACUUGACCUUUGUAUGUUCUAAAGUGGUACCGAUUCAUGAUGAGUUAUAAUCGAGUUUAUUCUGCAUCAUGAAAAUGUUAAAGCUAGCGCUACUAUUUGAUGAAGACCAUAUCUGAUUUUGCUUAGCAAUACAAGAUUUAAGGUAAAGAAAUAAUUGACUAUUACUAAAAUUUUUGGGUCAAAUGCUAGGCUCAAAUGGAAAACAUUGAAUCUAAAAUGAUAUGAUUCAAAUGCAACGAAUACUAGAAUGCAGUAAUGAACAUACCAUGCUACAUCACCAGAACCUUGCAUAUAAAUUAGAGCUAGUCCUUUCUCACUUUGCACCUCGAUCAUCAUAUACAAUAUGUGUAUAUGAGCAUUGGUAUGAAGAACUCUAUUGUUUUGUUCAUCUUCGUGGCAAUAUUCACGGCCUUGAAUGACCGUGGAAAUGCUGCUCCCCCGAGCAAAUACCACCCAGCGGGUGUCGACAGGUGGUACAUCCACGUCGUCAAUAAACUCGGGGGAGGUAGAUGGCUCGCCGUUCAUUGCAAGUCCAAAGAUGACGACCUCGGGAAUCAUGAUCUAGCACCAGGGCAGGACUAUUGGUUUACGUUCAAGUCAAACUAUUGGGGAACCACGCUUUUCUGGUGCACCCUGCGCACCGAAAAAGAAGACCCUGUAAAACAACAUGUUGGUUUGAAAGUGUUUUGGCAGGAAUGGCUACAUGUUUGGCUCACGUAUCAUUGUGGCCAAAAAGAAAGGAAAUGCUUCUGGAUUGCAAAAGAUGAUGGGAUUUACCUGAGAGUCAAUCCUGAAAAUCGUGAUGAAUUUGUUGUUAAAUGGGAAACGGGGUGGUAAUUCAGCUAUAUCUAUCUCUAUUGUAAUAAAGCAAGGUCGACUGACUCGACUCUUGGAUGAUUCAUUUUCGAAUUCGAGAUUUAGGUAAUAAGACCCCUUUAUCAGCUACGAUCUCACUCCUUUAUGUAACUACAAACUUGUUCCUAAGAUUGAAAUGAAGAGAAUCCAUAAGUGUGCAUUUGAGCCUCAACGUAUUUGCAUACCUAAUUACCUACAAGUCUACAACUCUACGUUGCAUAUAAAUCGCGAAGUAAUCGUGAUUGCAACUCUUUUCUAUUACAACGGAAUUGAAUGUGUUGAGAAAUUCUAAGGAGAAGGCGGCAUCAAAUAGGCUCAAAUGAACCUCCUCAUAAAACACAACAAACUUGACAUCACACAAAUCAUAAUGACCUCUAACUGGAAUGAGGCCCAAAUUGCUAAUAGAAUCAAGGAAGUUUAACUGGAACCAUUCCAAUUAAUUGGUAAAAUGUUGCAAUGAAGUCCAUAAGUGAUAAUAAGGCAUUUUAAGCUCAAAAAUUCAGGCCAAUCACUCGAACAUGGCUCUUUCUCGUCAAUACAAAAUGCAAUUUCAAUCUCAACCAGAACAUACUAAACACAACCUCAUCUAGAGGACAAUUUAUUCCAUCAGCUUCAAUUCAUUCAAUUCACACCAUCCACAUAAUGAAGAAUUGAAAAGAACAAAGCUAUAAAAUACAUAUCAUCUCGAACCAUAACACUCGAGCAUGACAUGCAAUGCGUUUCACCAAAGCCGCUUGCCUAGAUGUAGACACUGGAGUGGUUAUGUUCACAAUAGACUUAGCAAUAGCAAUCUCUAUAUGAACAAUAUCAAAACAGAUACACUGUCUUGCUAAUAUCCCAUAUAUAAAGUGACUACCAAACACCAGAUAAAGCUCCUUCCUGUCUUUCCACUAGCACUCAAAGGGAAAGCUAUACCACUACACAUUGCGUACUCUCCACACAAGCCAUACACAAAACCACAUCCAAUUGUCAAAUUGUUCUUCCUCACGACUUCAUUACUACACUCUGUGACCAAUAUCGAGCAAAGAUGCAAAAUCUUUACCAUGUUCACCAACACAUUUACUCAAACCCGCACAGUAAAUCUCUAACAUACGACUAACCAAGCAAGCAUAAAGCAGAACUCGAAUUGCAAAAACCGAAAGAACAAAAACCAACACAAAAAUUCCGAAAAACUCAAAAUUUAAGCAUAACUGAGAUUAUCCAUCACAAUAUAACAUCCGAAACAUAAUAAUAAGUCUUCCUAGAUAAUAAUCCAACACCGAAAAACAUAGAACCAAAAUCAAGACCUACUACUCUUACUAUGACUCCUCAGACAAUAGCAUUGGCAGCGCUGGCGAUUCUGGGCCAGAGAUCCGCGCACUCCUUCCCGAUCGGCCCAGUAAUCGCCGAUCCCUUCAUCUCUCCCUUGGGGUUCACAAUCACGCCGGCGUUGUCCUCAAAGUACAUGAACACUCCGUCCUUUCGGCGCCACGGCUUGCGCUGACGGACCACCACGGCCGGCAGCACCUUCUUCCUCAGAUCCGGCUUUCCUUUCUUCACGGUGGCCAUGACCAUGUCGCCGACGCAGGCCGACGGCAGACGGUUGAGGCGCCCCUUGAUCCCCUUGACGGAGAUGAUGUAGAGGUUCUUGGCUCCGGUGUUGUCGGCGCAGUUGAUAGUCGCCGCCACCGGAAGACCCAGCGACAUCCGGAACUUGUUCCCGGCCGAUCCUCCCCUCCCUCGCUUCGACAUUUUCUCUCUUUCUCUCUCUACCGCCGCUCAGUCUCAGUCUUGAACUGAUUUGCUAGGGCGUUUGAUAUCUGCUAUUUAUAUAGCUAGGGUUUGCCCAUUUAGUUACGCCAAGAAACGACGUCGUUUUGUAGAAUUUUUGGAUUUCCGACACGUGUCAUUGGCUUGAUUCCCAGCUUGCUAUGCGCUCCCUUGGUUUUACAUAGGUCCAUUAGGUUUUACUUUUACCUAGUGCUAAUUUACUCUCGUAAAUUUUUGUGAAUUUUUUCACUAUUGAGCUGGCCGCACCGAAAAGCGGUUUGCCCAAAUGUUCGGGUUAGCUCAUAGAAAUGAGGAUAUGGUUCGCAAAAUAGCCAAAUCGAAUAAAAUGGAUUGGUUCCAACUUAGGUCUUAACCUGUUCUACGCGUGACCACCUUAUUAACCGGUGUUCUCCAACUAGAUUAAGGUUCAAAGAACACCAUCUCGUACUCACCACAUUAACCGUGCUCAGCUUUGAAGGUUAGAUGGUCCAAAAGCUCUCUUCUCGAGAAUAGCAAGAUUAUUAAAGAAACAUUCAAAGCUAUGAGGUGGUAAACGGGCUGCAAAGCACGAACACGACACGAGCACGUCACGUUUAAAAGCGGCCCGGCACGGUCCAAACCCGUUAACGGCCCGGCUCGGUCUAAGCACGUUAUUCUAAUGGUUCGGGCUGGGCCUUGAAAAAUGAGCCCAUGGGUCCGGCCCGGCCCGAGCACGAUAAUUUGAGGCCCACAGCCCGGCCCGCUAUAAAAUAUAAUUUUUUUCCAUUUCUAAUAUGAAGAUAACAUAUUUAUAAAUAAUAAAUUUAGUUUUGAGUGUGAACAAUAAACUUAUAUACUAAUAAUUAUUUAUUUGAGUAUGAAUUUAGAUUCCCUUAAACUCGUAAAAAGUUUUUGCCUAAAAAUUUAUUAAUUGUGAACAAUAAGCAUUUAUCACUUAUUUCUUUAGUUGUUGACAAAAAAAAAAAAUGAUUGAUAGAUUGUGUGAAUUAGUUUUGGUUUGUAAUCAUAUCAUGUAUAAUUAAAAGUUGAGAUUAUGAGAGUAGAAGCGGUGGUAUAGGACAUUCACCUUGACUAUUUUUAAUUUUCGACACGAAACGGGCCGGACACAGCCACGUUCAUAGGCCUGGCCCGAGCACGGCCCACCACAUUAUGAGCUUUGGCCAUGGGUCGGGUUGGGCCUUACAUUUGAGUAAAUGGGUUGGCCCAAGCUUGAGCCCAUUAAGAAGUGGCCCGUCAUGGAUCGGCCCAAACAUGGCCCGAAACCCGAUUAGACGAACCGGGCCAGGCUGGGCCGGCCCGUUUGCCACCUCUAGCUACGAGCGAUCUGAAUGAUUGCCCCGAGUCUUUCAAAGAUUGCCUCAUUUGUAUUGGACGCAGUCAAUCAUUCUUCCACCAAGAUUUUGUUGAAGUUAUUCUCUUUGUUAUAAUUAGUCUUUCUCUUAAAGCAAAUGAUUCUAGCGAGGUUUUUGGCACACACUUUGAACCUACCACAAUAAGAAUGCCAUAUCGGUCUCAAUAAUGAAACCGAUUACUGAAUACAUUGCUUGAUUCACUGAAUCAUCAAAUUAGAUUUUGUAAUUAUCAAGCGGUGAACAAUCUCUGCUUAAUGAUGACACACUGGUUUUUGUUUUUUUUAUCUACAUGUAAACUUAUGAAUCGAAUGGUAAUGAAUGGAUAGAGAGACAUAAAAUCUUCACUUAAUUCUAUACGCACCUAUAUAGUUUCUUCAAGACUUACGUCAAUCAUUCAAGAUAUAAGUUUAAGUUGUACCAAAUUGUUUGUACACAUGCUUAACAAUUUUGCCAAAUUUUGUACCCGUGAGAGUUUCAUUAACCCCCCCAUAUUCGUGUUGAUGAUGUAGGUCUGUAGUUUUGUACCUACUAAACCCACACAAAAAUGAACUGCUCUUCAGCUUCGCUGCUGAGCUCCUCCUUCCUCCCAGCUCCACCACCCAACACCAACACCUCCUCCUCCUUCAAACUCCCCCAAUCCAAACCCAACCGCCGCCACGUCACCGCUAAAAUGUCCCUCAACAAACCCCCAGACCCAACCUCCCUCCUCACCUCCGUCACCAACCUCCUCUGGGGCCCAUCCCUCCCUCCGGGCCUCCUCAUCUCCACCGUCCGUUCAGCCUGGAACACCACGUGGCGCCUCAUGAUGUCUCAGCUCGCCCCCUCCGACCCCUCCCUCGCCUACACCCGACCCCCUUCCCGCUUUCGCGCCACCCAAAUCCCCCGCCAAAACCGCACCUCCCUCCACCUCUACGUGGGCCUCCCCUGCCCCUGGGCCCACCGCGCCCUCAUCGUCCGCUCCCUCAAGGGCCUCGAAUCCGCCGUCCCCGUCUCAAUCGCCUCUCCGGGCAACGACGGCUCCUGGGAAUUCAAAACCACCCGCGACCCGGAUCCGGAUACACUCGACCCGACCCGGGACAAAGCCAACGGGUACAAAACCCUGAAGCAGGUCUACAAAUCCAGACCCGGCGGGUACGACGGUCGGUCCACGGUGCCGAUGCUAUGGGAUUCAAACAACAAAGAAGUAGUAUGCAACGAGAGCUACGAUAUAAUCGAGCUGUUCAAUUCGGGUCUAAACGAAAUGGCCCAUAACCCGGGUUUGGAUCUUUCACCGCCUUCUUUAAAGCCAAAGAUUGAAGAAUGGAACAGCAUUAUCUACCCCAAUGUAAAUAAUGGAGUCUAUAGGUAAAUCCCUUGUCCUAUUUUUACCAUUGGUUAAAUUUAUAGUAAUUAGUAAGUGACGUUUUAUUUAUGCAGGUGUGGGUUUGCUCAGUCACAAGAAGCGUAUGAUGUAGCAGUGAAUGACUUGUUCAACACGCUAGACAAGUUGGAGGAUCAUUUGAGCCGAUUUCGCUACCUCUGCGGAGACGAGCUGACGCUGGCCGAUGUCUGCCUCUUCACCACUCUCAUCCGGUUCGAUCUCGCCUACAAUGUCUUGUUCAAGUGCACCAGGAGGAAGCUGGUCGAGUAUCCCAACCUUCACGCUUACAUGCGUGACAUUUACCAAGUACAGUGCUGCCCUGUUCUUCACCCUCUGCUAUUUUAACCGUCUUAGUUUUCGAAUUUGGUAGUAAUCCGAUUUGUUGAUAUAUUGUCAACAGAUUCCAAAGGUUGCAGAAACUUGCAAUUUUCAACUGAUCAUGGAGGGCUAUUACAAAACCCUUUUCCCGCUCAAUCCGGGCAGCAUUCAGCCUAUCAUUCCUGUUGGAUCCGAGCAUCAAGAACUACUGAGACCACAUAACAGAGAUUCGUUGUGCCUUAAAGGCGCAAGGGAAUCAGCAUCGACACUUUCAGUUUCUUAAGAGAUACGGCGAGGCAGUACAUAUGCCUACGUGAACCUACGAAAUAUGUAAUGACUGUGUUUCUUUCGAGGUGCAUGUGAGCUGUAUAUUUUGGUGAUGCAUAAUUGCAUAUAUAAUGUCAACAUUACAUAAGCUAAUCACAAACAAUUCUAAGCAAAAGAUUUCCCCCUUCAGAAUUACUGAAUAACAAGAGCAGCAUAUACUGGUAUCAGACGUUAAAACUAUCACAAAAGGCAUCGGAUCGUGAACUGGCCUAAACAUGUACAAAACCUACAAGAGCAUCCAAAUGAUCUACCAUAGCAUUACUUCAUGCGCAACCAACAUCGAUGCAGUAGCCACUACUGACAAACAGGCACUGUUAGGACAGCCAGUUGAAACCAAAACUAGUCCAGUAAAAUCUGCUUAGUUAAUAAUUCUUCAGGGAGGGAAAGGCCAUGCCUUGAAGCACUCAAAAUAGUCUCAAAACUCAUCUUGCAAGUGAGGCAGAUCUAGAUCCUGUAAUGUCGAAAUGAAAAUGAAGGUUAGCAUCAGGAUCAAAAUGUAAUUAUAACAACCAACAGAGAGUGGCUCAAUCAAUUACCAAAUUUAAUGAAAACUUCAACUCUGAGGUAUAGAACAGAUAUUACAAAAAUGUAUCGUGAUAAAUGGUAAAAAAAACUAAAAAACUGUCACAGCAUAGGCAGAUUUUCUGUACACUUACUAUUCGAUCGUGUCAUAUUCCUGCAGAAUUUACUACCACAUUGGCAGUUGAACACCUUAACAGGAUCAUCAUGGUCGUCAAAGUCAAUGCCAUAAUCCUGCAGACAGAGCAUGAAUAGCAGACUUUAGUGUGGAGUUGUGGGCACAUUUCAACUUGAAUAAGAUUUUCCAACAUAUAAUUUACUGAAACUUGGGACAACACACUGUUUCAUUCAUCAAUCAUUCAAGUGUUUGAAAUUGAUGAUAUUAAAUCUCACUGUGUCCUCAUCAGGGAGACCAACAAUAUGCAUAGCUUAAAACUUUGAAAGAUAAAAUUUUGAAAGAGCGUGUUAGUAAACCACCAACAACCAAUACUGUUAAACCUACUCACCCAUGUAAGCUCUUCCAAGGCAUCUACUUUUCUUGUUGUGAAGAAAGCAACCUGGACAAUAUGGUAAAUCAUAAAAAUAGAAAUAAUUAUACAUUCAGAUGAACAAAAAACAUACAAAUGAAGGAUCACAAUUCCCAUACAUGAUAAAAGCAACGAUCAGGAGUCUCGACUUCAACUGGGAUCAGAACCAAGUUUGCAUCCAAACAUCUAGUAGAAUACAAAACAUGUGAGAUAUUCGGAAGCUUAAAUCAGAAUUAUGAUAAAAGAAAGAGACACACACACACACAUAUGAUAAUAUCACCUCUGAUGGUAUUUGAAGACAUUUUCCCAACAUGAUCUUAACAGGAUUCACAUUUACCAACCAAAAUAUUCACUGACCCUUGCUAUUUAACGAGUGUUUAAUUCUAGAGGUUUAUAGCCACUUCAUACAUUCAAAUGUGAACUCUUGCUAUUUCUCCUUAAUAAGCAACUGGAAUAAGUUCAAGCACAUAUAAAAACAAGGUAUCAAGAAUUCCUCAAGUUUCAUGAUUUCUACUAAAGCAUUUAUGUUAUUGUUGCAAACAAAGCAUAACAGAUCAUAAGAAUUAAGGAUAUGAAUAGCUGAACCAAAAAUGAGAUGUCUGCAGGGCAAAUGACAUGUCUGUGAACUUCAAACUUACCUGUGAUUAAUAAACCUAGCAACAUUUCCAUAUUUUGUUGCAUCCAAACAAAGAGCGUCUUCAUCUUUCAAAUUGGAUUUAGUACCCCAAUUUGCAUCCAGUAAUACCGGAUAAGGACGUUUCCCACUUCUGGUGCUUUGGAUUUUCCUUUGAUGCCGCUCUUUGUUGGUUAAUAUUUCACCGACAAACUCGCACACAAACACACCUUUUGGCAGGUCAUCUAAGGUUCGAAGACCCCAUCCUUUCCCUUCUCGAGUAAAAAAGACCUGGGAUACAUGGGGCGAAUUAAUUAGAGAAACUGUUAGAGAACUAAAGUAGUGCAGAAGCAAAUCUAUAACUCCACAGAAUAUAGCAUUACAACUUAGAAAACAAUUUACUUGUAAAAACUGACAAUACAGAACAAGAAACACAAAACUCCAAUAAACGACAAAUAUAAUAGUAUUGCACAGAUUUCCACCUGCAAGUUGCAAUUUAAGCCUCUCUGGACUACCCUGUUGCCACAUUGCCCAUGACAGCCACAUUUGAUCCAGCAUUCUUUGAUGAAAUUCCUCCUUAAAUGGCCUUUGCAUGACUCUAAACAAUCGUCAUUCUUUAUUCUUUCAAGCGGGCAGGUCUUACAGUAGAAGAGAUGGUCUGGCUGCGGAUUACGUGUCAUAGAGAUACACUCUUCCAAGAGAUCAUCUUUAAUGAGGCCUUCUGGUGUGUAAGCAAACUUACCCCCAGUUUGAUGUGCACAUGCACAAGGUGUAGACGCUGAUACACAAUCACCAAAGCAAGUUGCACAACAAUUCUUGUCUUCAAUGCUAGAUAGACAUAUUUUAAGAUCAGCAUCUUUGGAGACAAUGUUUUCGGAGAUAUAGAAGAAGGAUGGUGGACGACUCCUGCUCCAUUCAUUUACCCAUGAUAUUUUGACUCUUUCUUCUCCUCUAGCUAUAUCAUUUAUAUCAUGAAUAGUCCUUAGAUCAUCAGGAGUUAGGUCAGAGUUUUGAACAACCACCAGACCCAGAGAGUCUUCCACGUUAUCCUCAGAAAAUCCAUUAGAAACAAUAGAACCAGAGACUUGUGGACAAUCACCAUUCAAAGGGAAGGGAACUCUUGGCACUUCAGGAUCAGUAACAGCAUCCCAAGCAGGAGAUUUUGGCAAUGAAUCCAGAUUUGGUACUACAUUAAUUGGUCCAUCCUGUGAUUCAUCAUUAGAAUUAGUUGCCAAUUCCAAGAAGCUCUCACACAUAUGUCCCAACAGAUUUUUCAAAGAGAAGUUAGGGUCAGUGAUUCUGUACGUGUGCAGACAUUUUUCCUCUGUGAGUUUUAGAAUUGCAUCUAGAUUAGGCAUAUGAAAACCUGGUCUUCGAAUAGCUGAACUGCAACUCAGAGAAAGCUUUACCUCUCCUGAAGGUGACGAGGCAACCUCUAAGCAAGAAGAUUCCCCUAAGUUAGAAGGAGUGCCCUCUGGAAUAGUUGCAAGCUCAUUAUUCAUACUCCCCUCAUUAGAUAAAGCUGGAAUAUCAUUUCUACUUUCUCUCUCUUGGGAAGCCACAAGUUCAGCAUGUUGGAUUCCAGUUGCACCUUCUGUUGAUAAAGGAGGAUUUACUUGACUUGAUUCAUCUGCACAGGUUGGAUCAGGACAAAGAUCACUAUGAGAAGAUUAUUCAAGGCGCUAAUAAUAGAAAAAAGAAGGUUCAGCCAUUUGGCCUUUCAUGUUAACAACUCGCAGUCAUUGACAUACUGAGUGUACUGUAUACAUAUUUUUAGUUCCUAGUUCGAACAAUCUAUCUUUUAAUACCCACGACAACACAAUACAAGUUAUACAACAGAAUCAAAGAUGUACCUGGAUGGAUCACAGCAAUGGGCACCUCGUCUUGGGCCAUGUCAUCAGUGAAGGGCUCAUCUUUAGGCUCAAUUAAUGCUAAACUGUUAACAUUCUGUUUAGGCAAAAGAACAAUCCGUGGUUCAACCACUGUCUCUUUAAAGCGAACACCAUUAGAUGAACGUUCUGAUAAACUCUUCCCUUGCAGUGCCAACGGUUUAGAUAUAAGAGGUUGCUUGCCCUUAUCUUUAAUACCAGACUGAAGAGAAACAGGUGGCCUUGACUCGGGUGAAUGUGAAGUAUUUUGGGGCUGCUGUGCAGAACGAGCAUCAAGUAGUUCCUCUGCCUCCACUUUUGGCUUUAUGAGCAAAGUACCACCAGACAUAGGAUUGCAGGUAUUUGAGGAAGGUGACACCUGACACUCUUGAUUUUGUAGGCGUAACCUUUUCAAGGGACGAUGAGGAACCAAGAAAUCUUCCUCUAUAUUAUCCACCAGCUAUACAAUAGAGCAAAAGGUGUAUUAGCAUAUAUAAGUAGAAGGGUGGAAAUGCAAAAGCAGCAGGUAAUGGAGCCAAGUGCACAUACUUCUUCAUCUGGAGAUUUUUUCUUCUGUGAUGAACUCUCAUCUUGACUUCUUGAACGUAACCUUGUCAAUGGAAGUUCAGGUUCAAGGUUGGGCUGUGAUUCUGCGUCAAUAUCUUCCUGCUGAUAUUUCACAGAUAUGUCAAAAACUAUAGCCUUUAAUUUUUCUAAAAUGAGAAGGUAUAGCAGGAUAAUGAAACAAAAAAAGAAAAGAAGUUAAAAUUACAUACAUCAUAAUUGUUGCAUUUCUUCUUUUCUGCCGCAACCUAACAGAUGAAACAAAAAUUAAGUACUCAUAAGAAUAACAAAAUACACAAGGAUAGAGAUGGAAUAUGCCUCACAAUCGAGAAAAACAUAACACAUAAACACACACACACACCUUAGCAUCUUCUGCCUCAAAUAUAGCAUCAGCAAGAGCUCUAUAUUCCUCUGCUUCAAUCAGUGACCAAUCUUUGUUAUAUAACUUCAAGAGAUUCUUCAAAACUGGUUUAAUCUGUUGUUCAGUGAGACCAAUAGCUGUCAUUGCCUGAAAGGCUUUUGCAACUUGUGGACUUGGUGGUGCCAUCACCGUCUAAUGUGUCCACUUGCCACUGAAGUUAACUAUGAGCUUCCCAAAUACCAAAUGUGCCUAUAUUUUCCAACAUUUUUCAUAGGAUAUGAUCAAUAUGAGUCUAAAACACUACAUAUGCAACACUUAUGAAUCCAGAUAAACACCAAAUUCACUAACAGGGUCCUAGUUCCACACAUAAAACAAAUUUUCACUUGUCACUGUCUAGCCAGCCUAAACUACAUAACCAGACUCUAAACCAUGAAAAGUAAUGCAUCUUUAUACUACCGAAAACCACGGCCAGGACAACAUGAAACUGAGCCACAUGUACAGCCCAUUCAAAAUCAAAAUUUCUAAAAGACAAACCAUUCAUCCAUUAUAUGAACAAAUAGAAUAGUAAUUUCAAAAGCUAUCAAAAACUUCACACACAGACCCAGAUGGCAAACUCUCUCCACCCCUCACACCCAUAGCUCUCAGAAUUGCAAAGAAAAUAAAAUUACAAAGAAGAACAUGAACCAUAGAUAUACAUGCAUGCAAAAUAGAGCACAAAAAUACACAAGAAAAAAAAUUAAAAACUUACCAAAACAAAAGUCUGGAGCUUGAUUCAAGCUAUCAAGACCUGAAAAUCACCCAUAACAACAACAGUAAAAUUCACAACCAAAAUUUAACCCACAAUUCUCAAGAACCAAACUUUGACCUACAAUUCUCAAGAACCAAACUUUAAGACCAGAGCAUCACAACCAGCUCAAACAAUGCACCCAUAAAACGAUGGAAACCAAAGCCCAAAACGCAGAGCUUGAAAUAUUUUGGAAAAAAUUACAAGAAACAGAGAAAAAGAAAACGUUUUGGGAGAAGUGAAAAAUGGGAAAUUGGUUAAAAGAAGAUGAAAUUAGGAAGAUGGGUAUUUGAGGAUUACCAGCAUUUUGAAGAAAUUGGGAGACCCAGAAACAGAGAAUGUGAAUUGUGAGAGAGUGAGGAGAGGACUGAGAAUUAUAGGGUUUUAUGAAUUUAGAAAGGGAGGAGGUCAGGUCCUUCUCUGACUAUUCUGAUGCAGGCGCGUGACCACGCGCAACUAGGCGCGUGGGGGAAAGGACUCGGUUUGACGAGCAUACCACUCAGGAUGGCAUUCAUGAUGCGCUUGGUGGGGUGAGAAUUUAAAACGCCACGUACGGUAAAUAUUUAUUUAGCUCUUUGGCUUUUUGGUACAUAAUUUAUUGUGAAAGAUUUUUUUAUUUUUUUUAUGAAUCGGGUACAGCUAGUUUUUGGUGACUCGAACUCAAAAUCACUCAUUCACUGAGGAGAGAUUUUUGUUAUCGGGCAAUUUAUUGUGAAGAUUGAAUUGUUGUUUUUUUUUACUUAAUGAGUUAAUGUUAGAGUAUGCUCUUGAUGCUGAAUUUCUAGCUUUACUUGCAGCAAUUCCUAUUGCCUAUUCACACAAAUGAUCAUAGGCACAAGCGAGCAUGCAAUAGUCCUCAAUGGAGUGAGUCAUGGUAGCUCAUCCUGUUAUAUGCAUCCCUUUUAUAUCUCCACCCUAAACGCUGCCGUUUUGUACUUCCCUUAUAAAUCCCCACCAAAUCAACGUCAUAGACAUUUCAAUUCUUCCUCUGCAAAUCUGCAAUGCAAAGAUUCGGGCUUCUCCGAGCUCUCUGUUGGAUCUCAGGCUCGUCGCUCUGCUUCGAUUCGGGCUCAAAAGAUCCGACCUUUUCAACGUGUCGGUGAUUUACCAUAUCUCUUCUCCAAGUUUAUAUGUUUAAAGAUUCAAUUUUUAUGGAUUCAAUAUACUAGAUCGGCUUGAAUAUUCAGUACCCACAUGUCAGAUUUCGCUAUGAAGCUUUACCCUUUUCAUUUUGGCUCAUUUGCCUUCCUGGGUUUCAGUCCUCCACUGUUUCUAUAGCUGUUUGAGAUUAUUGAACAUCUUGUACUACAUUUUGGUAUUGAAUUUUGGUUUGGGGGUGUUUCAGUUAGUCACAAUGUCUGCGAUUAGAGUUGAUCCUAAGCAGUACUACGCCACUAGUAGUCUUCUGAUUGGCUAUGCACUAUGUUCUAGCUUGUUAGCUGUGAUAAACAAGUUUGCCAUCACCAAAUUCAACUACCCUGGUCUUUUGACCGCUCUGCAAUACCUCACUUCUGCUUUGGGGGUUUGGGUUUUGGGCAAGUUGGGGUUUUUGCACCAUGAUGCAUUCACAUGGGAAACAGCUAAGAAGUUCUUGCCCGCUGCUCUUGUGUUUUAUCUUGCCAUUUUCACCAACACUAAUCUGCUUAGACAUGCCAAUGUGGAUACUUUUAUAGUGUUCCGGUCGUGUACGCCUAUUUUGGUUGCGCUGGCUGAUACGGUGUUUAGGAAGCAGAAGUGCCCGUCGAAGCUUACAUUUCUGUCUUUGUUGGUGAUUUUGGGUGGAGCUGUUGGCUAUGUGGCCACUGAUAAUGGGUUUACUUUGACUGCUUAUUCAUGGGCGUUUGCGUAUUUGGUGACCAUUACUACUGAGAUGGUGUAUAUUAAGCAUAUGGUGACGAAUCUCGGGUUGAACACUUGGGGUUUUGUGUUGUAUAACAAUUUGCUGUCAUUGAUGAUGGCUCCGCCGUUCUGGAUCAUUACAGGGGAGUAUGUUGAGGUGUAUGCUGCUUUGGGAUCCAAGACUGACAACUUCUUUGCACCUGGUGCAUUCUUUGCAGUGUCAUUGUCAUGUGUGUUUGGUUUGCUCAUCAGCUUCUUUGGGUUUGCGGCGAGGAAGGCAGUGUCUGCAACAGCGUUUACAGUGACUGGUGUUGUUAACAAGUUUCUUACAGUUGCUAUCAAUGUCAUGAUAUGGGAUAAGCAUGCCAGUCCCUUUGGUUUGAUCUGCCUCCUAAUGACAAUCGUUGGUGGUGUCUUUUAUCAGCAAUCAGUAACUGGACCUAGCAGUGCCCCAUCAAAGGGUGAAUCAUUGUUGCCUAAGCAGACUCACAGUGAGAACGAUGGUGAUGACUUUGAAAAUGAAAAUCAAGGAGUUUCUAGUAAACUAGUCAUAUGAGAAUUCCUAUCUUUGCAUGAUCAUUUUUUAGCUGCUGAAGAGGUAUUGUAUCUUUGAAAAUUAUCUUAAAGGCUGUAAUUUACUGGUUAUAUUUAUAUGCACAAAGUAUAAUGUUACAAUAUGAUAACUGAGAGAACUACAGCUGCUUUGUCACUAGUGAUAAAUGAUAAAGCUCUUUCCUUUUCAUCUGGCAAAAAAAAAAGAAAAAAGAAGCUGUUAUAUGCAUAAGAAUGAAUUCAGUAGCAAAUAGCAACAAGAAUGAAACAGAAAGAGUAGAUAUAUGACAUCCUUUGCAGCAAUUAUAUAUUUCAAUAUCAUCAGUUGCUGCACUAUUCUGUUUCUAUAUUAGCUAAUUAUAUCUCUUGGCUUGGAAAACAGUGAGAAACCCCCAAGGAGUAGCUAAAAAGAAAUAAGAUGUUCUAUUUACAAAGGUUCAAAUUGCAGACAUGAAACUGUGUUAACAGUCUAGCACCCAUUGCAGCAAACCAGCAAGGAAAUGCCAGUUCAAUAGUAUUGAAAAAUGAUACCAAUCCUAACAAAGGAUAGCAACGGUACGACACUCCUAACAAUGUCAAGACUCAAAACACAUUCUGGUACAACAAGACACAAGUCUGGAUGUGGAGCAGAGUCAUAAGAGCUCUCAGAACACAUAAAUAUGACCCUGGAUGUGGAGCACUUAUGACUCUGCUCCAUAUCCAGUGCUGUAACUCACACGAGUCUUUCUGUUUACAUGUCAGAUGGAUAUAACUCAAAAGCUCUCCAAUUGCAUAAAUAACAACUUAUGACAUAGCUAAGCUAGAUACCUUUGAAAAGGCCAAUGCAGAAACUUUGAAAGAGAAGAAAGCUAGAUACCUCUGAGCUCUUCAUAAGUGAGGUGGUGAAUUUAACUCACAAAAUACUAUGUUAACCAGGCUAUGCCUUCCGGGACUUACAUGCAACUAUCGUGGCAUGACAUAGAGGCUUAAAGCAGCGGAUUGUGAAGUUUAAUUUGUUUAAUAUCUUUAAAAAAUCUUCAAUGACGAGAAGUUCAUAAUAAUCCACCCAAAGAACACCAAAGCCACCAUUGAAAUAAGGAGGAACAAUCAAAAGCUAACCCUAUGUAACCUUCAUAUUAACAUAUGAAAACAGUUGUAACCGGUGAUGAGAUCACAAUGCACUUCUUGAUUGCUUUGAUUUCAGGCUGUGUAAUUCAACUUCACCAAUAACCAUGUCAGUAGAAAAUUUUCAUGAGCAUGUUACACGUAAGUAUUACACUACACUAUUACAUACAUAUAAUGCCUUGUGAAGUAGACGAAUGCCCAAAUGCUCAACACACUAAUGACUCUAUGACCAAUUGUUGAUGACCCAAAACUGUCAAGUCAUCUACGGCUAACACAAAAGUGAAAUGAAAACAGUAGAGCCAUCUCAGACCUUAAGUCUUCUCUAUGAACCUAGACUUGAACUUAAAAAGAGCACAUAACAGCGAAUGAAGCAAUCUAACAAAUUGAUCAUUCAUGGGGAAGGUGGUGCCGGCCUGCCGGGUCAAUAUUUAUGAAUGCCUCAACCUUUGUAUGGUUUGAAGAAAAAUAGGGAUAUUUUGCAAUCUUGUGGGAAUGAAUGCCACCCCAUCUUGUUCACUAAGAAAUCCAUUAUUCCCGUAAUUUUCUUCUCAGACCUGGCCAUUAAGAGCAUCUCUAACAGAUUCCCUAAAAUUUCUCUAAAAUGGGGAAGCAAAAGCCAAAAUUUUCAAAAAAUUUAUGCUCUAACUCUAACAGUUUCUCCAUUUUGGAGAUUUCAGUAUUUAUUACAACAAUAAAAAAUGCUACAUGAUUAUUAAUAAUAACAAAAAAAAAAUCAUAUAUUUCAUUGUAACAUAAAUUACCCAAUAAAAUAUUCUAGAUUUUUGUUCUUAUCGUUGGAGCACGUGAAUAAUUAAUAUUUGGAGAAGGAAUGUUUUGCUGCAAAUUUGGGAAAGGAGUGCUUCUCUUUUUUCUCCAUCCUCAUUUUGGGGAAUGAGAUGAGAAAGCUGUUGGACCAUAAAAUAACCUAAUAUUUCCCAAAAUUAAUAAAAUCAAGAAAAUAAAGAAGCUGUUGGAGAUGCUUUAACAUUGGACUCAACUUGAAGACAAAGAAUAAUAGAAUGAAUUAUCAUUGUCCGACCAACCCCACCUCCUGUAAGUCUCUUCCUUUCGCCUCCACGUCGUCUUCUUCUUCCCAGAUAAUGGGGCCAUGGCAUGCACAAAGGUCAAAUCAUAAUUGUUGGACCUCAGCCACAAGUCCCCUGAACGAUUCAGGGCACCUCUCAUCACAAUAUGAGGAGGAUGCCAUUUCAUCAACAAAGUGAUACACGACUGGGGCAUGCCCAAUUCUCUCAGAAGUCCAAUAUUAGGCAUCAUAGUCUUGAAUAGAUUAAGCUGAUGAGCAUAUUCGAAGCCCUUACAGAAAUGUAAACCGUAGAAAUUGACACUACUACACAGUAGGCUUAAUAUGAGAGAGAUUGCUUCAGAGGUGAGCACAAAACGCCGGCGUUUAAUUAGUAGGUGCUAGGUUGAUUGUGGAUUCAUGAAAAUGGUGGUGAUGGUUUGGAAGUUUAGAACAGAGGCCGGGCCGCCAGGGUACUGGGUGGGUCACCGCCUCUGUUUUCUCAAAUUUUCAGAAAUCAGGAUUAAAAGAAAAAAUAUAAAACAAAAUAAUUUUUAUAGGCUAGGAGGACACAUGUUACGUCUAGGCGGUUACAUGUGACAUAUGCCAAAAGGCUGAGAGGGAUCCAUUAUCACAAGUAUUCAGAAAUCUCAUCCAAGGUAAAAAGAAAAUGUAUAAACAAAAUAAUUUAUGUGGUCUAAGCGGACACAUGUUGCGUCUAGGUGGAUACAUGUUAUCACAAGUAUUCAGAAAUCUCAUCCAAGGUAAAAAGAAAAUGUAUAAACUGAUGAAGAAUAAAGUGUAGAGACAAAGAGAUAGCGAGAGAGUCAUCUUAUUCAUUGAUAGGAGCCCUUUAUAUAGGGAAUUACACAAUACCAAUAUGGUAAGGAUAUGAAUACAUAGAUCUAGUCUAACUACAUAUCCUAUUGGCAUAAGGCCAAGGCACACAUAGAGAAUAUCCUAGAACACUCCCCCUUGUGCCGCGCGCUGAUAUGCCGAUGGUGCUGAUCUGUUGCCUCGUCAAAAACCUCGUCAAGUCACAAAAACCCUGUGGGAGAAAAACUGAACCUUGAUCGUAGGAGAAAAAGAGUACAACGCACCCUUCACAUUUGAUAGUGACAUUUAUGUAUGUGCUAGACUCCCCCUGAAGUUCGCACCUCCCCCUGAUCUUUACAUCAAUCAUAAGGCUCUUCCUGAUUCUUACUAAUCACGGAAGUUUCAACAACUUAGCAUGUCAAUGCUUUUUAACAUGUCUUCAAAUGUGGUAUUGGGCAAUGAUUAACUAAAUCAUGCCGUAUUGUCCUCAAAUGAUCUUUUACACUUAGAUCUUGAGGAGAAGGUUUGCUUGUGAACUCAAAACAUAAGUUAGUGCAGGAAAUCAGAUUUCCGCGCAGCAUGACCUUCAAUUACUAGAACAGUCGUAACUUUCUCUAGGAAAUACAUAUGAACGAACCGUAAACGGUUUUGGAAACUAGACUCAUUUAGCUUUCCAACCGUAUAUUACACACGUUCUGGUUCCUCAGGAGCUANNNNNNNNNNNNNNNNNNNNGCCAUUACAUUGGCGUUGCGUGGGCGUAUAGCUACACUUAGCUUUACAACUUUUCAUAGCGAAUGAGAUGUCAAGUCUUUUGUAUUGUGUUGAGUACAUUGAUGCGUCUUUUUGUACUUAGAUGGGAACUCCAUCUCUUAACACAUAUUUGUCAUCUUGCUUUAGACAAAACAACGGAUCUCUCUUUAGAGCAAAGACCUUGACUAAUCAUGGUAGUAUAUGUAGGCCUCACUAGUUAUAGAGCGCCUAAGCCGAUUGAUCAUCAAUACAGUCAUCGAGUGCCUUAUCGAGACUGUGUCUUCCCAAGAUCUUUUUCUUCGGAUGUUGAUACAUAUUGGCAUCUCUUGAUCCAUCAGGAGUCCAUGUAAAUCCGGAAUGAACACGCAAAGGCAUAAUUCACCAUAUCCCUUCCAAAUCAAGUAGAGUUCAUGUGCGUUUCAAUACAUUUAGCAAACGCAUGCUCCUGUGGUUUAGCAAACGCAUGCUCCUGUGAUUGAAAGAAGCUACGAAAAGCUGCAAUCCCGAGAAUGCAUAAAAAUUUCCGCGCAGAAUGACCUUUGCGCACUAAAACAGCCAUAACUUCUUCGUUAAAAUAGAUAUGGACGAACCGUGAAAAGUUCUGAAAACUAGACUCGUAGAGCUUUCCAAUGAUAUAAAGCUCACUGUCUGGUUCGUCCGGAGCUGUUCAAAAAGCUCAAACGAAGUUGACUGUCCAGAAGGGACAGAUUGCUGUUUUUCGCAGAUUUGGCAUGUGCGAAGCUGUGAAGCUUGCAGGUGGCGUGUAGGCUUUUGCCUUAGCCAAAAGUGACGUGUGUAUGAUCAAAACCAAGUCCUUUCGGUCCUUCUAAGGUCGUAAACUCCAUGACUAGUUAGCAAAAGCUCCCUGACAUGAACAUAAACUAACUCAGAGGACCUAGAGGAUCCGAUCAUGAUGAUAAUUUUCCAGCUUUGAUAAGUCUUCAACGUCUUUUGCAAGACGGCAAUUGGUUUAAUAGCGUAGGGGGAUCCAAAAUCAAAAGCUUUCGGUAACUCCAAGUCAGUAUGACCAGGCAUGUCCGUGGAGGGUCGGUAGUGCGAGGCACACUUAAAACCACUAUCUCCUUAAUUUCAGACAAUUCUAAGACAUCACACUGAGCUUGGAUGAGCCUAGUUGAACAAUUGAUGAUGAAAAAUCCGCUAUAGGUAGAAGACUUAACCGGAAACACGUGGGCGAUCCUCCUUGAGGAUGCAGUGCCAAGNNNNNNNNNNNNNNNNNNNNGCUAAAGAUUAUGGAUCAUGAUGCCACAAAAGAUCAUCGACAAUAUGUAGUCAAUUAAGGUGGUAAGCAAUCCACUUGACUAAUAACUCAACAAGUAGAGUUAUAUGAACGUUUCGAGAAAUGCUCUAUGAGUGCAUUCCACAGUACUUUGUGGUCAUUACUUUUUGCACAGGUUGCCAUUGAAGGUUUUUGUCGAUGUGGCGCUUCAAAAACUUUGAGCGCAUGAGAUGUGAAAUCUCGGCAUCUAGGCUUGUUAGCCUAGGGGUCAAAACAUGUGGUUUAAUCCUUUCCAAUGAAAGGUUCCACAGAUACCAAGCGAAGAUCCGCCUUAGGCAUCUAGUACGUCAAAACUCAAAGGAGCAGAAUGUUACAUUGCUCUUGCAUACAAAACCAAGCUGUUAUGAGACUCGAUAGAGGUCACAAACGAUGCUUUUAAUGGUUUGUCCUUCGGAUUGAUCAUACACAGUCCGGAAAAGCCGCGAAUUGAUCAAACGCAAUUCGGAAAAAGGCCUCGGAUUGAUCAAACACAAUCCGGUGACAGGUCGGGGUUGAUCAAACACAACCCGGACAAAGAAACAAGAGUGAUCCAACAUACUCUUCACCCGCGAAUAAAAUUCCGGGAUUUUUGGUACCUACACACACAAAAUCCCAAGCAUAGAAUGGAGAUGGAGAAGGGAGGAAAGGAUUUUAUCCUCCCCGAGUUAUUAAACUUGGAAAAGUUUAAGGUUUCAAAAACAUACCUUUCUAGAGGCUGCCGAGAGAAGAAAUAACGUUUCGCCUACUUAUACUUCGAAUUUGGGGCUGAAAAUUUGAUAGGAGGAGCAGCUCUGGAUGGGGAAGCUGCUGUCAAAAUUUCAGGUUGAUCGGAGCAAGGGAAGGUGGUGAACCGGUGGUCGGUAGCGGAGGCGGUCUGGAAUCUUCCGGCGGCCGUUUCGGAGACUUUCCGGCCGGUUCUCAGGGUGAGACUGGCGGCGUUGGAUCCGGGACGGAGAGAGCUUUCUGGGGAUAUAAAAUUCUGGUGGAGAACAGUUGGAAUUUUGGUCGGAAAUCGGGAAAAACAAGGCUGCCCGAUUUUAGGGUUUUGGUUUUUAGGGUUUAGAAAAAAAAAUGGUGGGCUAUUGGCUCUAGGGUUAGAACAAAGUGCAUGAUAACGAGAUGAAGAAUAAAGUGUAGAGACAAAGAGAUAGCAAGAGAGUCAUCUUAUUCAUUGAUAGGAGCCCUUUAUAUAGGGAAUUACAUAAUACCAAUAUGGUAAGGAUAUGAAUACAUAGAUCUAGUCUAACUACAUAUCCUAUUGGCAUAAGGCCAAGGCACACAUAGAGAAUAUCCUAGAACAUAAACAAAAUAAUUUAUGUGGGCUAGACGGACACAUGCUGCGUCUAGGCGGAUACAUGUGGUAUGGGCCCAAAGGCUGCGGUCUAUUAAUAAUAAAUCGAUGAAAGCAGAGUGCAAAGACUCAAAAUGAACCAAAUUUUAGUUAGUAACGUUCUAGUAUGUGUGGAGGGAAGCCAAUUUCUUGGCAGAUAAAUUAACUAAUUUAGGCCAUCUUGUUUCAGAUUCUAUGGCUUGGUUGUAUCAGUUACCUCCUCAGCACAACCUGCUUUUCAGUUUGAUAUGUUAGGCUCUGGCUGUGCUAGAGGUUUCCUUGUAAUGUGUUUUUCUCAAUUAAAAAAAAAAAAGAAGACUCAAAAUAAAGAACUGAAGUGUACCUAAGCACUUGAGCAAAUAUUCCUCAUGACUUGAGCUUCUUUCGGCUUCGUCGUGAUGAGUUUCUACCAGUCCUUUUAACAUUCUCUUUCUCCUCGAUCCAAAUUAGACUCUCUUCAUAUUCAACAAUGGCAAACCUGCUUCCCUCAAUCAUAUACAGAUUACAGGCCAAGCUUAUCUUUUUCUUUACGAUCCAUCCUCAUGAACCAAAUCCCCUUGCCAUAGCAAACCAACCGCACGGUGAUCACUCAAGCAAUGGCUGCACAGGCAAGUUGGAAAGAUCCAGGUUAAAAACCUUAGUCCAAGAAUCACUCACGUCAUAUUCUCUCAUCGCCAAAAAAUCAACAGUCACAAGUAAUAGCCUCAUCUGUAUAACUCGCCGCACAGAGGCACCCUCCAACAACCCCAAGGUGGCACCCUCAUCCGUAUACAAACUUCUACCAAUCUGUAUGGCGAAACUAGUGCUGGUGGUGGAGACGAUAGGCUUCAAGUUUAAGGAUUCGGCUUUUCAGAUGACACUUAUCAUCUGUAUGUGACUUUGGAAUUGGGAGAUCACUCUCAUAGAAUGUCUACGUUGAACUUAUAAUAUUCCCUGCAAAAAUAACCUUAUUUGCAUUUGAUCUCAUUCUCUUCAUAUUACAUGUAUACUAAUCCAAACCAACCUGCAUUACAAAUGGUAAUUUGGUACCUAUCAAUGUCACCAUUACGAGAAGUUGAAGACUACAAUUUUUCUUUAACUGUUCAGCUUUCCCAUAAUCAAACAUUCAAUGCUUGUGAUGAUCGAGCUUGACCGGUGUAGGGAACGCACUUGGAUACAGAGAGAACGUAUAUUGAUGCAGUGAGAAGUUAGAAGGUAAUCUUUUUUCUUAUUUUAGUUCAUUGUUUGAUGUCUUGUGGCUCAAGGAACUCAACUGGAGUUGACUACAAGGGAUUCAUAAAUGAAAAAAGAAAAAAAAAAUUACUCGUUUUGACCAAAUUGUUAGUUACCACCCUUGAUUGGUUUUCACGGAGAGUUGAUACCAAUAAGUUUCAAAAUAAGCCACUGUUAAAUCGUCAAAACAAGGUCACAAAUAUCCUUCAGCCUUAUGUAUAGGCACUACCAGAGUUGAAAAGAAAUGUCACAAUGAGGAAAAUCAAUUGCUUUAUAAGCUGGAAGUCAGGAACUGUAUGAACCUCAAAUCUCAAUCACUCUUUUCAGUACUGUCAAAUUAAUGUUGAAAAUUUCAAUAUUACAAUUGAAAAGUAGUUUAGGAAUGGACUCCGUUAUGAUCAGCUGGUUCCCAAAUUCUGUAAUCUUUACAAGAAUUCCUUACAGUUCUAUUGUUUCUUCCCCUACUGUAACUGCGAAAACAUAAGAAAGAACAACCAAAACAAAAAUAUUAACAUUGAAACUAGAAGUUCCUAAGAGCAACUUGUGUGUCUUGACAAAAAAAUUAUAUGAUCUUUUCAUCCCACACUGCCCUGGCAUAUAAAAUUGCUGUAUCAUAGACAACUCCUUUAGUUACACUGCAACAAUGACAUCUUCAGUUUCGAAAAUAUAAUCAAUUCAAAAACGAUUUUUUGGUUCAAAUUUUUUUCCUACUCCCCCCCUUUAAAACAUGCUCUAUUUGUGCUUAACUUAUAUUUAAUAGUGAUACAGUAUGUACAUACCAGAAGAAAAUAAAACAAAAACAAAACAAAAGGAACCAAAUAAAAUAAAGGGCAGUUGCAACUUACAUACUCCAUUUAUCGCUUCAAAAACACCGCUGACAAGAUUGCUCAUUCUUUCAAUCACUUCACCAGUUUCAAGAUCAGCUUCAAGCUCUAGUUGGCAGGCCAUGGUUACGAUGGAGGCAUCAGAUAGGUGUCCCCGAGACCCAUCAGGUAUUAUGGAAAAACCAAAAGGUCUCAAGGAACAAGAUAGUUGCCCAAAUCCUAAAGCACUAUUGACUUCUGAUUGGUCGAUCUGUGAUGAUAUAAUGAAAGAGCAAAACUCAUCUUUGGAAGCCUCUUGUAACACAUAUUCAAAAUUCUGUCACAUUUAAAAGAUUUCAGAUAAGUCAGUCAAGAUAUAGCACCAACAUGAAACAGUUAAUUAAAGCAUAUAUCACCUCUGUAGACUCGGUUUGCAUAACUCGUUCUGUAGACUCGUUUUGAUUCACUCUCUUUGCAUGUAUAGUAAUACAGUUGCUGUGAUCAUCCGUGACUAAAUUUAUCACUUCUUCAGGCUCUGCCAUCUCUUCUAAACAUGGCCACUACCAUACACAAAAGUGUUAACAGUUUCAUACUAAAGUGAUUCAAAAUAACUUGACACAACAUUUAAUAUAGCAAAGUUAUAAGGUUGAACCAUAUAUACCUGUAAUUGUCGAUUCCUUUUGACAAGAAAGUUGAAAACGGAGAGUGGUGUUGCUUCAACUCUGGAGGUAGUCACUGCCAUGUAAUUAUUUCUUUGUGCAUCAGUAUCCUUUAAAAUCUUGAUUCCUGUAUCUGAUAAUAAAUCCCAUUUAUUUUCAUCUGGAUGCUCAGCUAUGUAGCUCAAAAAUACCAUCUUCAAUCUUCUAGCCAAUGUCAGCAGAGCAUGACGAACCGAAAAUGCUAUAUUUUAUUCAAACAGAAACACACAAUAAGAAAUCACAACAUAUUUAAAUCAAACAAAUAAAUAGGAUUUAAAAUCCUCAAGAACAUCUUGAGACAACUGCUAAUAAAAACAACAUAGAUGACACAUUUGUAUCAAGUGUGCAUUUAUGGACCUACUACAACCAUGGUUAGCGAUCAUACACAAAAAUAUAAAAACAUUUACAUGGAUAAGACAUUACCAUGGUUCAUAAUAGGCAAUUUAACAGUGACAAAUUUACUUUGGAUCCGCUUUUCUUUGGUUAGUAGCAUACUAAUCCAGUGCUUUGCAUCGAAUGCCAGGUUUGAAUUGACACCAGAGUAUAUACUAUCUUCAACAUUGUAGUUAUGUAUUUCCAUAUUCUCAAUCCAUAUAACCUGCAUGGAUAGAGCAAUUCAAAAGUUGGAUCAAAAGUUCCAUACGACCACUACAAGAUUUUACAAUUGGAAUCUUUUGCAGAUAAUAUAUACCUCAGAAUGGUCAUCACGCCUCCUAACAAUGACCCCAGAAGGCCUUCUCUUACAGUUGACAUUCAAUGUAGAACUUAAAUGCGGAAAAUAGUCAGUCGAUACAUCAACAACAGCCCAUACAUCUGGUAUGACUUCACGCAAAAACCUAAUGAAACUGAAUUUACGUGUUGGCGCACAUGGCAUUGGCAAGAGAAGUUCAGCAUUUAUCUGGCCGAUAUAAACCAUAUAUUAGAUUAGUGUCAUUACACAUUAUAUAUAAUCAGAUUCAUAGACCUCACUAGCAUAUAGGUUAGAGCACUACAGUAACAAAACACCAGUAAACAUAUGCGAUAGUGUUUACCGUUUUUACACACUUGAAAUUGUCCCUGUUAUGUGGUGGUGUAUUAGGCGCUAAAUUACUCAUAACACCAGAUGACACUUCAGCAGUUCUGUUAUGAACGAUAUUGCAAAAAACUGAAGCCCAUUCGUCCUGGAAAUAAUGACACAAAACAAACACACCUAAAAUUAAAGCGAGAAUCGAAGAAAUAGCAAACCUAAACUGCAAUUCCAUAGACGAAAUUUAAACAAAAACCGAAGAAAAUAAUAAAAGAAAUAUCACACACCACAUUUGUCAUGGUAGUAACCACAUUAUCUAGCCUCAAUGGAACAAUGCCGCUCUCAAUGGAAUACUCAAUCUCCAUCCCAGGCGAUGGCGGCUCCCUAAACAUAUGGUGGAGUUUCUCAAUUGAACCGAGUACUGGAAUAUCCACAACCCAAGUGUUUGCCUUCAAAGCCAAAGUCAUGAUCUCUUUGUAAGCUGCCAUGCAUAUGUUAUAGCACUCUUGCAUUUCUAGGAACUUGGGCACUCCUUCCUUCACCACUCCAUUUGAAGACGACAACGCCUCAUCAAACUUGACAAUGACAACACAUUUCAAUCCAUAAAACAUAUCAAGACUAAUCAAAAAUCAAGAACUCCAAAAUCAAACACCAAGAAAUUGAAAUCUAAUUUCAAUGAAGAAGAAAAAGUAACUUGAAAUUCGAGUGCAAGAAUGAGUACUUAGGCCUUAAGAAAAUAAUUACACAAAGGAAAAAAUUAUGAGAAAGUGAAAAGAGUGAUACCUCCUUAGCUUCUACUCCCAUAUUGAGGUUUGUAGCAGUUGAAUUUUUCAGACCUAAGUAUGACUAUAUGGACCUGCAAAAUCUAUACAGUCUUCAUAGGAAUUUUUGGAACCCAGAUUUCUUUAACACCUCCAUAGAACAUAUAUAAUUCGAAUUAAGAACAAUGGUUUAAGAUAGAUCAAGAGAGAAUUUGAAAUAUAGUUUCGACUCUCACCCGAUUAAGCCUGUUCUUGAGUGCGGAUACCUCAUAAAUCGAAAGGCUUGUUGAGUAGAGACGAGAAGGGUUUGACUCUUGGUCAGAAUCAGAGAGAAAACCUAGUGAUACCCUGAGACCUUUCGGGUGCUCGUUUGCCGUUUAUAUAGGUUUGGCAAUCAGUAAGGCAUGUGCGAUGCACGUGAUUGGGAUAUUCAUUAUUUAAUGGGAAAAGGAAAAGAAAAUCUAGGAUUUUACUAAGAAGAGUCCUAGUUUGAGAGUAAAACCGUAAAACUCCCAGUAAAGUCCUAGUUUGGCUUCCUCUGUACAAAAUUGGAUACGAAAUUUUACUAGGAAGAAAUAAUUGAUAAAGUUGUCUUCCAAUUUGUAAAGUUUUGUUUCUUCGAUUAUGUUUAAAUUGAAGCAUGAAUACACACCGUGAAUUGAAUAAAAUACAAUAAAAAUUGUAAUUGUUCUAGGAUAUUCUGUAUCUUUCUAGAUAUUCUUUAUGUGUGUCUUGGCCUUAUGCCAAUAAGAUAUGUAGUUAGACUAGACUUUUGUAUUCAUAUCCUUACCAUAUUGGUAUUAUGUAAUUCCCUAUAUAAAGAGCUCAUAUCAAUGAAUAAGAUGAUGAUUCUCUUGCUAUCUCUUUGUCUCUACACUUUAUCCUUCAUCACGUUAUCAUGCACUUUGUUCUAACCCUAGAGCCAAUAGCCCACCAUUUUUUUUCCAAACCCUAAAAACCAAAACCGGAGGUUCUCGGCCCUGCCUCGGCCACCGCCGCCGCCGUCGCUUCUCGGCCGUUUGCUCCGCUGCUUUCUUUUCAUCCGAUCAAGCAUCCAAGUGUUUACGGUAUGUUUAUUUUACAACCUUAAAACUCUUCCAAGUUCAAUAACCUCGAGGGAGAUAAAAUGCUUCCUCCCCUUCGUCUACUUGAUAGGAGCAUAAAAUGCGACGAUUUUAUAAUUUAACCUUUGCAUUUAACUUGGCUAUUUUCCUUUAAAAAGAUCGUUUUAACUUUGUUAUCUUCUUAGGUACUUCGUGGAGCAGGAUAAUGCAAAUAUGUGCUCAAGUGAUGCAAGCAAAGCUUCCAAUACGAAAUAGAGAUGUCAAGGAUGGAGAUUGAUCACUCACAUGGUCAAAAAUAUCAAGGAAAGACGAUGGAACCACUUCACCAAAACAGAAGCUGCAAACACAAAAAGCUGAAAAAUGGUUUCUGCUUAUUUUCUCCGGUUUUCAAGGCUUAUUUCCAUGCGGUUUCGAGAAUGGUUUCACCAAGAUGACUGCCCAGAUUUGUAGAGGAGCAUUUGUAGAUCAAUUUGGACUCAAGAAUCAUCCAAAUCGGUGAUUUCAUCUGGGAGUUAUGAAGCUCCAAAGUUGGACAGAAAAUCAGCAGUUCCGGGAAAGCUGUGCAGUAGUCAAGUUCCAGGCAGUGUUUGGGCUGGUUUCUGAGAAUCUUUCUUGGGGGUUUUUGCACGAAUUUGAAGAGUGACAUCAUUAAUAUAAUUUUCCCAAAAGCCAAGCCCAGAUUAUAUGUGGAAGACAUUCAAAAGAUGGCCCAAACAUUGAUUCUAGUCAAAGAAUGAAACAUAGUCUGAAAAAGAAUCUUUGAAGACUUGGAGACUACUUAAAGCAAAACCUUAAUACUAGAACGACUGGAAGCCGUCAUACUGCAAGAGAGCCUUCACGUUGCUGCAUCGCACAAGAAUCCAUCAAGGGGAAGUCGCCAAGAUCAUCGUCAACUCCUUCCAUUCACAGUUUUCUUCUUCCCUUUGUAAUCUUUAACUUUCGAAUAUGAUUUAUUUUCUCUGUGCGAUUUCUACAAUGAUGUGUGGCUAGUUUAUCUUAGUUAGGGGUGGAGGUUUGAAGCCCCGAAUUAUGCAAUAAACUUUGUUUCACAACCUUGAUUUCGUAAUUACUUAGUUGGAUUGUCUGUUUGGUUUUGAUUUAUAGAGAACUCUUGCUUGUUUAUGUUCAUGGAUGCAUACAUAGAACAUUAUGAACUUGUGAGUGGGGCUAGAAUUAGGUUGUUUAAUCUCCUAAACGGUUAAUACGGCUUAAUUCAAGGUAGUAAACCUAUAGGACAAUAGGUGAAACCAAAUAGAGAGACUUGCAUGCUAGGUAGGCGUUCCACACUAGUUUUGCAUACUUGUUCAAUCACUUCCAUUGAUCUUAAUGCUUAGAAUAAUUUAUUGAUAGGAUAGCGUCUAUACCUUGAUUGGUUAUUCUAAAGGCUUAGUAAUGGUGCGUUCAUCUUGCAUAAGUAGUAAGAAUUUACGCAGUGCGUUCACGGUUUAUUCUUGAUUGAACCUUUUCAUAACUUGGUAGUUGGAAUCUUGGUUGUGUGGACUUUGUUUUGAAGCAUGUUCGGUGGUGAAUUUCCUAAACCCCUAACCUCUUCUCUGUCUUGUUUCUCAAACUACAAAUCAAAACUGUUUUCUUAUUCUUUUGUCUUCUGUAUUUCGUGAUUUAUUUAGUAUAGUAAACAAACUCCAAAUCCCCUGAAAUUUUGUUUGCGUGUUCUUCUCUGUGUCUAGUGUAGUUUUAUAAAUUUUCAUAAUUUUCUGAGUAGUGUAGAUUAGGUAGUUUAAUUAUAUUUUAGUCUGCUGUUCGUCAGGAACAGUAGACACUUUUGUGACAUUGUUUUUGUGUGUGAAAUUUAAAUACCCUCAAUCUCUGGCAAUGAAUGAUCCUUGCUUCUUUAUACUACAAUCGACAAUCUUUUGCAGGGUUAAAUUGUGAGGCUAUUUUAGCCGUACCACUACUCCAUUCUAUGCUUGGGUCGCGGUGUAUUUGCAUGUACCAAAAAUCCCGGAAUUUUAUUCGCGGGUCAAGAGUGUGUUUGAUCACUCUUGUUUCCUUGUCCGGGUUGUGUAUGAUCAACCUCGACUUAUCACCGGAUUGUGUUUGAUCAAUCCGAGGCCUUUUUCAAAUUGUGUUUGAUCAAUUCGCUGCUUUUCCGGAUUGUGUAUGAUCAAUCUGAAGGACAAACCAUUAAAAGUAUCGUUUGUGACCUCUAUCGAGUCUCAUAACAACUUGGUUUUGAAUGCAAGAGCAACGUAAAAUUCUGCUCAUUUGAGUUUUUACAUCGUCCUUAGAAGCAUGACAUAUUUACAAUCUACAUGGUUAGAUUGUGCCGUUUUGGUCUCUUCCAAGUGAAGAUGACGCCCAGCCUUGCAUCCUCAAGGAGGUUCGCCCACGUGUUUCCGGUUAAGUCUUCUACCCUAUAGCGAAUUUUCCAUCAUCAAUUGUUCAACUAGGCUCAUCCAAGCUCAGUGUGAUGUCUUAGAAUUGUCCGAAAUUAAGGAUAUAGUGGUUUCAAGUGUGCCUCGCACUAUCGACCCUCCACGGACAUGCCUGGUCAUACUGAUUUGGAGUUACCGAAAGCUUUUGAUUUUGGAUCCCCCUAGCUAUUAACCAAUUGUCGUCUUGCAAAAGACGUUGAAGACUUAUCAAAACCGGAAAAUUAUCAUCAUGAUCGAAUCCUCUAGGUCCUCUGAGUUAGUUUAUGUUUAUGUCAGGGAGCUUUUGCUAACUAGUCAUGGAGUUUACGACCUUAGAACGACCGAAAAGACUUGGUUUUGAUCAUACACACGUCACUUUUGGCUAAGAAAAAAGCCUACACGCCACCUGCAAGCUUUAUAGCUUCGCACAUGCCAAUUCUGCGAAAAACAGCAAUCCGUCCCUUCUGGACAGUCAACUUCGUUUGAGCUUUGUGAAUAGCUCCGGACGAACCAGACAGUGAGCUUUAUAUCAGUGGAAAGCUCUACGAGUCUAGUUUUCAGAACUUUUCGCGGUUCGUCCAGACCUAUUUUAGCAAAGAAGUUAUGGCUGUUUUAGUGUACAAAGGUCAUUCUGUGCGAAAAUUUUUAUGCACUCUCGGGAUUGCAGUUUUUCGUAGCUUCUUUCGAUCCUUCUAAAUGGUUCAAGUGGAACUAUUAACUCACCUAUCUACUCCUUCUUGUAGAUAUGUCUCAUUGAGACAUUGAGUGCUUCGCAUAUAGUGGAACUAUCCACAACAUUCUAAGGAACCGGCAGCUAUCUUUGGAUUUUGUGCCUUUGUAAAUCUUCUGUGACUAUAAUGAUUGAAUCAUACCGGUCAUUCAGGGACACGGUUUAGCUUGAAUCUUGAUGCCUCAUGGCACCAUGAUCAAUGUCAUAGAUACCCUCUAUACAUUGAGAGGCAAUCAAACCAUAUUGAGCUUUAAAGACAUUCUUGUUAAUAGUUUUCAUUUGAAAACACAUUGUGAGAAUGAACAAUAAUUCUUUUGUGUAUACCUUCUCAUGAAUGCGGACUGAAGCGCAUCUUGGAGAAAUUCAUGAGUCAAUCUAGUGGACUGUAUGUCACUACGAUUCGAAUAUCGAAUCUCAUGUUGUCGCCAAACAUGAUAUUUGGGACACUGACUCAUAUAGACUUUGGUUUUGACCAAUUAAGGUAAUCCUGGAAGAGAUAUAAUGGUUCAAAUUUUAAGAAAUUCUCAUGGACAUCCAUUCUUCCGCUCAAAACGAAGACAUUCGAGAUCUAGCAUCAACAUGAAGAAUGGUGGUGACCCGGGGGACAUUGAUGUCUCCCGAACACGACUCCAACUUAUUGGAGGUCGUCCAGUCAAUUCCUCAAGCAAUUGAGGUGCACCGGCCUUCCUUCGAUGUCGCAUUAGCCCCCUGCAAUGCUGAUUGCUCGUUUUGAAAGCUUAUUCUUUAGCUAAAUUAGGAGUGAGACCCUCCUACACUAAAUAACACAAAAGUGAACAUUCUAUUCUUACAUCAAACUAUGUAGAUAGAUACAAUCAAUUUGCAGACACCUUUUUAUGCUUUAUGGUGUUGGUUGAAGUGUUAACACACUGGUCACGUGUUACACUAUUAUCUACUGCUUAUGUUGUUUAUACUUCUACGAGCUCACUACCCAUUCUUUAAAGAAGUUUAUCGGGAUGUAAGUUGAAGUGUCUUGUACCCCAUGUUCACACGCAAUACAGUCUCACCGAGGCUACGACCAAACAACUUUAGCUUGUCGCUCGAACAUUAUUGAUGCACACCAAUCUUUCUAUUGCGUCUUGGGGAUAUGCAAUAUUUGCAUGCAGCUUUACUAUUCAUCUACGACCCACCAUCAUUGAAUAUUUUUGUACUACAGCUCGUGACUGUGUACCAUGAUUGCAAUCCUUGAGCUCAAACAAGAUUGAAACGGAUCUCUAAUCCUUGAGCUCGGCUAAAUGUUAUUUCUAGGUGCCAAAUCGCAUUGUCACUACGUACAAUGAUGAGUCAUUUGAGAUGAAGAAGUAUUUAGGUUGGAUAUGAACCUCCACCUAUAAAUCCGCAUAUGUAGAAACCUUGUCAGACAAUUUCAUUCACCGUUAAAUUGCGGAUUGUCACUUUGAUGAGACAAUAUUCCCACUGUUAGGGGGAGAUAAGAACACAAGUGUUCAAGUGGAACGACGUGAAUUGUCGUGGUUUGUCCCCACUAAGUCUCAUUUUGAUCCUAAAUGCUUAAAGUGUUAGAUGAGACAAUAUUCCCGCCGUUAGGGGGAGAUAAGAACACAAGUGUUCAAGUGGAACGACGUGAAUUGUCGUGGUUUGUCCCCACUAAGUCUCAUCUUGAUCCCAAAUGCUUAAAGUGUUAAAGUGACGAGAUCACAUGCUGCAAAUAUGUCUGCAAGGAUUGAUGUCUUAUCAAGAGGACAUGGCGCGACCAAAAGGAGUUGGUCUUGACGCCAUCAACAUAGAUGGUGAUAUAGUGACGCCAUAUAGUGGCAAAAUUGGUGUCACAGGGCCGUGUGGCUCCCCAAAAGGAGGGAGACCCUUAGGUUCGAUACUUUCUCGCACUAGGAAGAAAGCAAGCUUGGCACAACUUGAUCUAUUGAUCAGUGAUACUCAAAUCCGUCUCAUGAAGUCUGAAUUGUGAUUAUCGUUGGGAGACGCCUCAAUGUCAAAUCCAAUCUAUAUAGAGAUCUCUACAAGUAUUACACUAGUGUACAUGAGGACGUGAGAUAAUGAGUCUACUAUCGAACCACCUUUUGUUGAUGAAUAUCAACUUAGUUGAUUGGCCUAAUGGAAAGAUGCGAUCCAGCAUUAACAAAGAGAUAGGUCCUUGGGCAGGUGAUGCCGACACCGCAAGCUAAACCCUAUCAACUAUGUCUUUGUUAGAUAGCGUAGUGAAAACAAGAGCUUAGACUCACCUUAUGGCGCAAGGUCUCUCACUAACACGCACUGAGAUCAACUACGAUGAGAUAUGCUCUCGUAAUGGAUGUCAUUGAACUCCACUACUUUGUCAAUUUGGUAGAUUCCGAAUAACUGAACAUGCAGCAUAUGAAUGUGGUCAUAAUAACAUCUCUAUGGGAUCAGAGAUAUACAUGAAGAUCUUAAACGAACUUCAUUUAUCCGAAUCAAGUGGCUCUAAACCACAAGAGCAUGCGUUUGCCAAAUGUAUUGAAACACACAUGGACUCUACUUGAUUUGGAAGGGAUAUGGGUGAAUUAUGUCUUUGUGUGUUUAUUUCGAAUUUACAUGGACUCUUAAUGGAUCAAGAGAUGCCAAUAUGUAUCAACAUCCGAAGAAAAAGAUUUUGGGAAGACACGGUCUCGAUAAGGCACUCGAUGACUGUAUUGAUGAUGAUUUUCCAUCAAUCGGCUUAGGCACUUUAUAACUAGUGAGGCCUACAUAUACUCUCAUGAUUAGUCAAGGUCUUUGUUCUAAAGAGAGAUCCGUUGUUUUGUCUAAAGCAAGAUGACAAAUAUGUGUUAAGAGAUGGAGUUCCUAUCUAAGUACAAUAAGACUCAUCAAUGUACUCAACACAAUACGAAAGACUUGACAUCUCAUUCGCUAUGAAAAGUUGUAAAGCUAAGUGUAGCUAUGCGCCCACGCAACGCCAAUGUAAUGGCAGUAACUCUUUUUUCAAUACUUAAUGGUAUGAAAGGUUGAGGCUUAUUCUAUCCCUACAUAAGAAAGACACAUCAAAAAAGAAAUCAGAAUCUGCCAAGUUUUGUAGGUCAACUUCCACGGGACCUAUAGGAAAUCUCACUCACUGGAAAAUGGUGAAAUUGGUACCAUUGGAAAGGUCUAUGUGUCUACUUUCCAGGGACACCAACCAUUUGAUCAUACCUAUCAUAUUGAGUGAGUUAUGACCGUUUUCAUAAAGUAGGACGAAUCUGUCCGAGAAUCUGAUUUUGGCAAAACAGUCAACUUUGACUGGACUUUGUGAACAGCUCCUGAUGAACCAGAAUGUGUGUAAUAUACGGUUGGAAAGCUAAACGAGUCUAGUUUCCAAAACCGUUUACGGUUCGUUCAUAUGUAUUUCCUAGAGGAAGUUAUGACUGUUCUAGUAACUGAAGGUCAUGCUGUGCGGAAAUCUGAUUUCCUGCACGAACUUAUGUUUUGAGUUCACAAGCGGCCUUCUCCUCAAGAUCUAAGUGUAAAAGAUCAUUUGAGGACGAUACGGCAUGAUUUAGUUAAUCAUUGCCUAAUGCCACAUUUGAAGAUAUGUUAAAAAGCAUUGACAUGCUAAGUUGUUGAAAUUUCCGUGAUUAGUAAGAAUGAGGAAGAAGAGCUCUAUGAUUAAUGUAAAGAUCAGGGGGAGGUGAGAACUUUAGGGGGAGUCUAGCACAUACAUACAUGUUACUAUCAAAUGUGAAGGGUGUGUUGUACUCUUUUUCUCCUACGAUUAAGGUUCAGUUUUUUUCCCAUAGGGUUUUUGUGACUUGACGAGGUUUUUAACGAGGCAACAAAUCAGCACCAUUGGCAUAUCAGCGCGCGGCACAAGGGGGAGUAUUCUAGGAUAUUCUGUAUCUUUCUAGAUAUUCUUUAUGUGUGUCUUGGCCUUAUGCCAAUAGGAUAUGUAGUUAGACUAGAUCUAUGUAUUCAUAUCCUUACCAUAUUGGUAUUAUAUAAUUCCUUAUAUAAAGGGCUCAUAUCAAUGAAUAAGAUGAUGAUUCUCUUGCUAUCUCUUUGUCUCUACAUUUUAUCCUUCAUCAGUAAUGAAUAUAAUUUCGUAUAUUCCCUAAUU